This 48586-nucleotide long non-coding RNA is filed under the name Homo sapiens (human). RNAcentral describes it as "HSALNT0301728". Lineage: Eukaryota; Metazoa; Chordata; Mammalia; Primates; Hominidae. The record is from RNAcentral.
ACAUCCUUGGUGGGACGGAGCAGGAAGGCUGGAGAUUUCAUCAAGCUACUCACAGCAGCAUGCCAUUUAAAAUUCAUGAAUUAUUUAUUUCUGGAAUUUUCCGUUUAAUAUUUUUGGACCACAAUUGACCUCAGAUUUUACUUUCUACUCUUGUCAGUCAUAUCUGCAAGGCUGACAGUUACCAGGGGCUGUGGCCAGGCAUGAGGGAGAAUGUGUCAUUGCUGGCUGCGUUGGUCAUAGCAACGUGUCUGCCUCAGAACAGAUCCAGCAUGGAUGAGCAAACAGAAAAAUGUGUAAGAAGGCUUGUGACUGAAACAGACCAAGGCAGACACUUGAAGAAGCAUCUUUCUUGUGAUCUCCUGGCUGGUACCCUGAAGUCCUGUUAUGCCAAUGGACCAGCAACCCUCGCAGGUGGCUAAGGAACAAGCAGGCCCGCUGUGUUUCAGUGGCUUUCAGAGAAGGUGGCGGGAAAUAGUCUCUUCUCAGCAGCAGCUGAAUCCCAGUGUUAGCAGACGGAGCCUUGUUUCUUGAAAGUACAUUCCCAGGGAUUCCCUUGAAGAAUGUGAGAGAUCAGCUGGAAUGAAACUGGAUGUUUUAGGGUCCUGAGGGAAAUGUAAAUCCAGCAGCUUAUUCUCAAGAUGUGGCUCCAGAACCAGCAGCACUGAUUCUUCUAAAGAGUUGAGAGUGCAUUUUAGCUGUGAUAUCUUUGUACUCUUAAGAAAUCCUCCUCAACAAGACAAAACUUGACCAAGAGCAUUCAGUUGUCUUCCAGAAGGCUCCCUUGAGGACUGGGACUCUUCCUGGAUGCACCCAAUUAAUCUAUUGAAACAAGGACUCGUGAUGGCAGCCCCUCACCUGACAAACUGGAUUUUCCCCAGAGAUCAUUUGUAAUGUUUUUCCUGAAUCUUAUUUGUGUUUCCCUAUUAGCAAUGUUAUGUAUUUCUAUAUCGCAAAUCCUAAGUGCCGCCUGUAGAACCUAACCUCCAUUUAUAGCAUGGAACACACAGCCCAUCACGUAUCCUUGCCCUGGCCUUCAGCCUCUGAAUAUUUUAAUAAAAAUCACUCUUUCCUCCUUAAGGACCAUGUUCUUUAAAAGCUUAACACAUAGUUCUUAAUAAUUGGUUGCUUUACUUGAUGUUUCUCUGUUUAUCUUGGCUGCCCAGAAGCUCAGACUUAAAUGUAAGAGUCUACUUACAGUAACAACCUUGUUGCGGAUACAAUUAAUUCUCCCUAUCUUGUAUGUGGUUUCCGUUGUCUUUAUUUAUUAUCUUUAUUUAAACCUUUAAAAGAGUAUAGGAUAUCAAUUUAUGAAAAGAAAAAUAUUUUUUUUAGUUCAAUUGAAAUCCCUGUUUUGUACCACACUAUAUUUAAUGCCCCAUAUAGUUCUAAAACUCUGCAUGAUUCAAAGCAGGGGUUCUUAUUCUGGCGUGUGUGUGUGUGUGUGUGUGUGUGUGUGUGUGUGUCUGUAUGUACAUACCUCAAGGGAGUCUCUAAUUUAUAUAUAUAAUUUAUAUGUAUAUAUACACACAUAUAUGCACACACACACACACACAUAUAUAUACUUUAUAUGUAACAUAUAUAUUAAAUAUUAUAUAUGUGUAUACAUACUACACAUAUAUAUACACAUAGUGUUUGUGUGUGUGUGUGUGUGUGCACUUUUGGAGAGAGAGCAUCUCUAACUUUCAUUAGUUUAUGCAAAGAAUUUAUGACCCUUCUCUUGCCCCACCCCCAGACCCAAAGUUAAAAAUUACUGGUUUAAAGGGACCUGGAAGUAAAUAUCCAAGAAUAGGAAUGCACACAGCUCCGCCUUCAAGUCUUCCUCCCCAGUCAGUAAACAUCAUUGUCAUUUAUUUUUGGCCUCUUUUAGGAAUCGUUCUUCUGACCAAGCAAGUAGAUGAAUUGCUAUAUAUGGAGCCAGUUCAAAGCAAGGCACAACUCGCUGGUUUUAGAUACCAAAGAAGUCCUACAGUUCAAUUAUGACCUGGGGGAGGUCAGAGCUCGGCAGGUGAAUCUUGCUUCUGAAUGAAGCUGAGGCAGAGGGAGCCGACUUGCUUCACCCUUUCCCUCACUGGUUUCCCCCAGGGAGGCCUGGGUAACAGGCAGGGUGCAGCUCCUAGGCACAAAGAUGCCUACUGAUUGUGCUGGGCCAGGCUGUGGAUGGGAGUUGAUGGGGCAGCGAGAUGCUGGGCUAGAGGCAGCAGUGGGCACCCAUGACACUCAGGGAGCUGGAUGUCAAGCCACGGAAAUGAAAUCUACCAGAGUAUCAAUGAGUCACAGCUGCAGCAUGUUCUGAGUCCAUGCACAGUGCUGUUGCCAGGAGACCCAAGACAGUGUUUUCCAAAGAUGCUUAAAGCAAGUCUCCUGAGCUGGCUAAGGAUGCACCAUAGGGUAAGCGGCACAGAGCACAUGCGCCAUCACUUUCCUCCUCCUCUCCAACCAGAGAAGUACAGCAAUGAUCUGCUUAAUAGUAAGACAUGUGACAGCAACAAGUACACACUAAGUCACUAUUCCUCUUGUUUCCCUGUAAGGGGAACUUGGCAGUUUUUACAUUUCUGUCCCCUCAUUCCCUCCUCUCCAGAGGAGGAGUGGCUUCCCUGAUUGGGGAACUUGGGAGCGACGCUUGAGAAUGUGGGCUCAGUCUCCUCCUCUGCCCUCGAGCUUUGGGAACAGCCUGCCUCAGAGGCCAUGUAUUCUGGUCUGUUUGAUUCCUUUGUACUGUAGUUUUCCCUGAGAGGACUCCUUCAUAGGAGACUUCUAGCUGUCCAGCACUGCUGUGGAUACGCUUAAUUUGGGGAUGUAAUGCUGGCAUGCUCAUUUGGUCCUCACAUCUAAGUCACAGUCUCCAGUAGCUUUACCAGUAAUGAUACUGACGUUUUGAUCUCCACUUCUUUCUAUUGGUUCUGAACAUAGGCCAGUAAGGCAGGAAUGCUUUGUAUUGGUCUUUUAAAAUUCCAACAAUUUCUUCUGAAGAAAGGGCUCUCCUAGUUUGAAAAAUCUUAAGACAAUCUGAUCUCAGGCCCUGUGGGUGGUUAACAAUAUUUAGGGUCAUAAAAGCUGGUUAACAUCAGCAGGCAAGAGAUCUUGGAGAAAUGAAGGGACAGAAGUGGAGCAGACAAGGAAAGGGUCACCCUACCCCAGCAGUCACAGAAGUCACCAAACUUCACCAACAUGAUCUUCCAGCUUGAGCUGCCUCUCCAUGUCCUCUCUCCCCGGCCAGAUCUGAUUCAGAGAGUGCCUGGGCCAAUGAACAUCUAACUGAUAUAUUGAACAAAUAGAGUUUAAUCUGGUAUGAUCAUGAAGUCAUGUUUUUCUCAUCACUGCUCCAGCGAAUGCCAUCUUGGCUCCUUUCUGCUGACUCUUGCCUUUGAAUGAAAUCUCACAAAGACAUCCUCGUUUUGGUUAUUCUUAGACAAUAAUGGAAAAGUCCUCUAGUUACAUCUAGCCACAAAAAAUAUAUAUCUUAUUUGAAAUUAAAAUGUCCAGGCCCAUGUAAUAGUCACAUUUAGAGUAGAAACCCUGUUAUCCUCCAUGCAGGCUGGCUUUCUCCUAGAAACUUGUAUGAAGUCAGGGAGGGGAGGCAUACCUACUUUCUGUAUUUCUACGGAGCAUGUUUACCAUUCUCCUUUACUUACUAGGUUGUCUUGGAUGACCCAGGGCUGAGGCAGGGGAACAAGAAGAGAUAGGGAAAGUUCUUGCUGGAUGGUCUGGUGCUGGUCUCCUCUGGCUAUGGGUCCUUAAGAGGUUCUUUUGCUGGGUCCCACUAACUACAGCUUCUAGCCUUUUCGGCUGAGGUCACUAUACUAUUUCCAGAACGUACCCCUGAGUGGGGUCACCUUUUAAAUGACCCAAGUUGACAGUCCUACUACGAGUUACACAUCUUGGAGUCACAUGCCAGUGGCCUGGCAUUUAAAUCAGAGGAGGCUUCAGCUAACAUCCUCUUGCGACUAGUGGCAAAGGGUUGGUGGCCUGGGUGUGGCUGGCUGCUAGAGUGUGGAGCUGGCAGAGGUUUUGCUGGUGAGAUGCUGCCGGGGUUUUGGAGGAGGAAGUGGGUGGAAAUGUGGGCCUUGCCCUCUCUCAGCCUGUGACAGCCUCUCUCUUUCCUGCUCCUGUUCCUUGCUGUUGGUUGCCCACUUUUCCCUUGCAUCUCUCAGGCCUUGCCUUCUUCUUUGCAGUCACAGCAUCCACGUCAUCUUUUCCUUUUUUUAUAGGAUUUUUGGCUUCAUAGAGAGGCUUGGUGGUACCAGCCUCUCUGUUAUUUUUGUUCUAAGCCAGCCACAUCUUCCCCUUUCACUUGCUAGACUGAGAGUAUUCUGGGUGACUUUGAAUUGAGCAGAGGUUGCCUUGGCAAUCUGUGUACCCAGGGAUAUUGAUUGGGACUUCAGGAAGUUCAUGUGAGCUGACAUGCAGACAUAAGAAAGGGUCUACUGGGCAGAAGGAGCCAGGGCAGGACAGAAGCUACCAAGAGGAAGGGAGAAGGGAGGAGCUGCCUUAGAGAAACACAGGAUCUGCCUGCCAGGAGUUCACAGGGUUCAGCAAAUGGCCCAAUUGUGAUAGACAAGAAUUACACAGAGGGAGUAAGUUCUAAAGCAUUUAAACAUUCCAAGCAAAACAAUAAGGGCUGUGAAUAUCGACUCAAUAAUCCUUCCUAUUCUAGGAUUUUGGAAAAACCCAUUUUACGAAUUCCCUACAAAAAGUUUCCAAAUCACUCAGAGAAUAGUGUAUUUGCCUGAAAAACAUCCAGACAUUCCUUAUCAGCAGGCUUAUGCUGCCAGCAGUGGUAACACUGUGCUUUCCCCUAAGAUGUGCAAGGUUAUGAGCCAUGGAACAGAUGUUUGCGGUUUAUGACUACCUCUGCUUAAGCCUGAUUUCUUAAACAAGUAGUAUCUUUCAGGUGCCUUCUAAUAUGCACUGACUGCAUUUGCUGGAGGCCUCUGUCUUAACACAGUCUCUUAAUUCCCCUUCCUUUUGACUGUGUGGUUCCAGGAAUGCUUGGAUUUUAGUAAAAUCCUGGCCUUUGAUUAGGGCUGAAACUGUGCCUACUGCCCUAAUGGUACAUGGCAAAUUAAAUAUCCCCCAACUUGGGUUUUGAUGUGUUUGCUCUGAUGAACUUUUCUCAUUAUGGGUUGAUAUGGUUAGGCUUUGUGUCCUCACCCAAAUCUCAUCUUGAAUUGUAAUCCCCAUAAGCCCCAUGUGUCAAGGGAGAGACCAGGUGAAGGUAACUGAAUCAUGCGGGUGGUUUUCCCCAUGCGGUUCUCGUGAUGGUGAGUGAGUUCUUACGAGAUCUGAUGGUUUUGUAAGGGACUCUUCCUCCUUUGCUAGGCACUUCUCCUUCUUGCCACCUUGUGAAGAAGGUGUCUUGCUUUCUCUUCGCUUUCUACCAUGAUUGUAAGUUUCCUGAAGGCUCCCCAGCCAUGCUGAACGGUGAGUCAAUUAAACUUCUUUCCUUUAUAAAAUUUCCCAGUCUCGGGCAGUUCUUUAUAGCAGUGUGAGAAUGGAAUAAUACGUGCAUCGAAGGGCAAUUCACGUCCUUUCUCUCCUGGGUUGGAUUUCUGGAGCUAAACUCAGGUUUGCAGGAGUUAGCAUUACUUCUUCACCAUGGAAAAGAAAAACAAGGACAGGUGGUUGCAUAAAGGACCCAGUGAUUAAAUCGAAAGCACCUGUGAAAACUCAAAGUCAAUAUUUUCUUUAAAGGAAGGGAGUGUACACAAUCAUGGUUGUUUAAGUUAGCUACCAUAGCAGAAAUGACCUGAAUAUCAAUGAUUGGCUUCAGCUGCUCAGCACGUCCUUCGGGUCGAAAAGUUGGGCAGUGGCCUCUGCCAACUUGUUUUUAAUGAGAUAUCCUAAUAUUUUGAACAACAUUGCUAUGCUUCUAUUUCUACCUUAAUGAAAACAAUGAUAUCACUUAUACUUAUUAAGCACUAGCCAUGCAUCCAGCACAGAACUAAAUAUUUAUAUGGAUUAUCUUGAUUAAACUCCUCACAAUAACCCUAUGAAGUAGCUGCUAUUUUCACGAAUAGAUGAUAAAACAGAGGCUUAGAGACAAUCUGCCCACAGUCAUAUAGUUUGUAAUUGAGUCAACCCAUGGCUGUUGUGACUCCAAAGUCCAUGCUCUUACUUAGUAUUGCCUGCCUGUCUUCAUCAGUUGGGUAGAAGGUAACUUCUAAGUUUGUGUGUGUGUUGGUGGCAGGGGUUGGUGUUUUUUUUUUUUUUUCCCUUCCCAGGUGUUUGUUAUCACAAUGAUUUUCACAAUUCCAUGUCCUGUUCCUGUGCUCUCUGUGGUGUUGACUGCAUCAGUGGGAGCUUAGCUGGGGCACCUGAGUUCUCCUCCAGGUGUCCUCUGUGAGUGGUGUCUCAUCCUCCAGGGCAUCUCCACAUGGCUUCUCUCCAGCAGAACAGCCUAGUCUUCCUCACAACAUGGCAGCUGGGAUCCAAGAGGGAGCUUAACCAAGAAAACAAACCCCUUUUCCAAUUGCUUAUAUUAAGCCUCGCUUGCUAAAGUCUCAUUGGCCAAAUCAAGUCACAUGAUCAAGCCCAGAUUCAACGCAGGAGAGAACUUUACCAGGGGUAAAUAUCAGGAAGUGUCAUUCAUUGGCGAAGCCACAGUAGAACAGUCUAUCUCAUUAGUAAUAAUAGUAAUGAUAUCUUUCAUAUAUUGAGCACUUACCAUGUGCUAGUCAGUGUGUUAUAGGCUUUACAAAAUUAUUUUAAUCAUCAUAGUAACCCAACCUAUCAGCUUGGUUUUAUUCCCAUGUUAUAGGAGAGGAAACUGAAGCUCAGACUAACCUGAUAAAAUGACAAGAGUGAAUUCAAACACUGAUCAUUCUAAGUUCCCGAUCCAAGAGAUAGAAAUAUGGUAUACAGAAAAUGAAAAAAAAUUUUUUUUUCGUAUAAUGAUAGCCCUUGGAAUUCAUAAGGAAAAAAAUAAAGGUACUAGUCAAUGACUUUAAUGCUCAGUAGGUAGCAUGUUUAGGGGCCUUCCUGCCUCAAGACUAAUUCUCUUGUAUUUGCAGCCAGCCUUUCUAAUUCUGGUAUUUUGAAUGGAGAACAGUCAAUAAACAAAAUUGGGUAUAAUUAGGCUAAUCAAAAUGUGAAAUAAUAUAGUGUAACUUUUCUUUUAAUCAGCCUCUUGUUUUAUUCUUUGGCUAAAUGAGCUGGUCUUUCCUCUGGCUGUGUUUUCAAAAAGUUCUGCUCCAAACCAUUUGGCAAGCAGUGAGCUGGAGAAAGAACGAAGGGGAAGGGUCUAUACCCUAUAAUGAUGCAGAUUUCAAAACAUAGCUUGGAUUUUUGGAAAAUCCCUUCAUGAGCAUGAAAAAUACAACAACUAUGUUCAGAUGCUUUUGCCAGCUGAAAACCACCAUGACACUUGAGAUCAGUUGCAAACGUUCUCUCCUUCCCCACCAGCACCCAGGGCUGUGGUCCAGGCAGUGAACACAGUGUUUGGCCUGUCCCAGGCCUAAGGGUGUAUGAAGUGUGGGCAUUGUUGGGUGAGCUUGGCUGGGAGGGCAGUGCCUCAAUGCAAGGGAAUCAUGUGGAAAGAUUCAUGGAAAUUUAUAUUAAAAUAUGAUACCUCCAAAAAUAAUUUCUUGCAAGCAGCAAGAAUUAACGCAUUGUGAAACAAACAGAGCUUUCACUAUUAACUUCAGGGAAGAAAAAAAGGGAGGGUGGCUGGCUCAGUGGAAAAUAUCGGCUGUAAGCUGUGAUUUUUUUUUUCUUGCCUUUCCCAUGCUAGAUGGCACUAAUUGAAGAGCUCAGUUGUUUGGGGAGGGGGUUUUUGGAGGAAUGUAACAUGAUCACGUGAUUUUUGGUGCAUCGUGGGGUCCCUAUUUUAUUUUCACUGUUAACUCCACCAUUGUUUUGGUCUUUGAGGUAAUUUUAAAUUUUAAGCUGAUUGCAUGAUUUUUCUGGAAGUCAACACUCGGAGAAAAGGCUGAUUUGGAGGGCCUGCAGAAGUGCUGGGGUGGGUGUUGACAGAUCUGAGUGACAUUUGCAUGGUAUUUCCCUGUGUCACCCCACCCCUGCCACCCUUAAUCACCCUAGUGGCAGUGGUUUAAUGACACAGAGAUCCUGGAAAAGAGUGUUUCUCAACCAGUUUCUUUCAAAGGGAAGCCAUGGAGGAAGGAGCCAUUUUAUCUGAGCAAACAGCAAAUUCUUACAGGAGCUUGUAAUGGCUGUCCAUUCUCCCACUCCACCCCCCAAAAUAGAACUUGUGGUGUGAAAUGAGGACAGCAAAUGAUUCAUAUGUAGAUGGGUUUAUAAUUCAUUCUAGAAAUAAAGCUGAGCCUGUAAAUGACAUUCCAGGAAAAAUAAGAAAGAAUGAGUGGCUUUAAGGGUACACCAGACUGCUUAGGCCAAAAUUAAAAUAUUUGGUAGACUUAAAAUAAUUAUAUUUAUUUUUUUGAAAGGUAAUAUGUAAUUAAAAUUUCCUCUGUGGAAUAGUCACUUAAAAUAGGUUUGUAGUAUUCAUAUUGUGAAUUUAUGGAGGGAUUGUAUGCUUUGAUCUCAUCAAUGGUUCUAUAAAGAAGCUUUGACAUGUAAUGUUGAUAGUGACAGAACAGAGGCUCAGAUUCUGUCACUUUCCAAAGGUCACACAGGUUGUAAGUGACUUAAACUUGGAAAUUGUGUCUCUAAAGCUCAUUCUCUUUUCAUUAAGUUAUACAGCAUCUCACUCUAUAAGGCUGUGUAAUGAUGACAGUCAUGGACCUGCUCACUCAUGAUCUGGGUGGUGAAGAGUUUUGGAUUUAGAAUUAGAAGAGGUAAUUGGAUUAGAUUAGAGUCUCACCUGAUGUUACUUAGCUGGGUGACUUGAAGCACAUCACUAAAAUUGUCUGAACCUCAAUUUCAUUAUCCGUAAAUUUGAAGGAGAUAUCAUUUAUUUAUAGAGUUAAGACCAAAAAUCGUAAGUGUAAAAGUUCUCUGAAGAUGGUACAGUGCUCUACCAUGAUAUACUAUUUCUUAGGUACAAGCUAUUAUUUAUUAGGCACAGCAACAGACUAGGAGCUAGGAGAAAUUCAGAAGUCUUUUUUAUAGCCUGCCUGACAACCUCUUUAAUUAUUUUCCAUCUGCUCAAGAAGCUCCAAGCCCUGGCCACACUGAACUUUUUAAUUUAUCCUUUACACGAUUUGCUCUCUCAUAUCUCUGUGCUCGUGCGUAACACCCCUCUCCUAUGAUCUCCUAUGCAUCUUUCAGAGGCUCUUUUCAGCUCUAUUGGUAGUUUUCCUCUUCUAGGUGCCUAUGCAUUUUGUUCACAACUCUUAUGGCAUUUCCUACAGUGUGUUAUAAUUCAUCUGUUUAUAUAUAUGCUUCUGCUCCUUCCUAAGCUAUAAGCUUCUCAAGGAGACAUGCUGCCAUCUGUAUUAAGUGUGCCUGGUACAUAGUGGACAUCCAAAGGCUUGCUCAAUGAAUGCAUGACUAGAGGUGUAAGAAUUACUGUCCUGAUCCUCAUACACAUUACAACCUAAUCGAGGAUCAUGACAAAUAGACAUGAAACACUAGCAAAAUAAACAGGAAAAAGGAUUCUGUGAUGUAGGUGCAAACCCUUAGCAUUGCAUAAAUUCAGAGGAGCAGGAGACCUUUGAAAGCUAAAGGAAUCAGGGAAAGUUUCUGUAUGUGGAAUUGCUUAAUGAUAAGUGAUGAAUGGGGAAAUCAUUAAACCCACCAGAAUUCCUUCAGGGAGAAAAUCCUGUUAAUUUGGAAGGUACGUAGAUGCUAAAUACUCAAGGGAUCUGCUUCGGGGCAAAGCUGUACCAUAAGAGGAAGAGCAUUUAGCUAUUGUUCUAAGAGAUAAGGAUGAGGAAAGGGAGAGUGGAGGUGGAUUGAAGAUGAUGGCUGAAGACCACACACCCAGCAAAUCUCAAUGACAUUGACUAAAUCCUGAAGUGCUUGAACUGAAUGGAUUUUUUUAAAAAAGGAAACAAUGAAUGGACUCAAAUUAUCCAUUCCUUGUGAAUAUAGGAACGUGGAAACAAAGAGGGAACCAAGGCACAGCUAUUCAGAGAAUACGAGAUGGCCUUCUCAGGGUUCAAAGAGAUAGAUUUGGGGUUUGGGCCAGGUUUAACCAAAUCUCUCAGGAUUGCAGCUGAGGAGCAAAGAAAAGGGGAAGCUGAUAUCUGGAUGACAAUAUCCAAAUGAGUUGCAUCUCCAAAGCAGAGAAUUGGCCAUGGGUCUUAAGGAAUCAUCCAAGUUAAAGCAAAAUAAUACUUCAGCCCUCUAUAUAAACAUUCCUGUAGCCACUGCCCCCUAGACCUAUAGUUUAUAAAUCUCAGUCUACCCAGUAUGCUGAUGGAGGAAAAGCUUUCACCUAAACACCGACCGUGUGAGUUGUUCAUAAUACUAAAUUCAUUUAACUUACAGAACUAUAUUUCAAAAUGUUAUUUUUCUGACAUAAUUGUUCGUUUUUAAAUGAAUUGAUGGCUUUUGAUGUCUUUACGUGGCAAAAUUAAAAUGUGUCAACUUCGUGUUCAUUUUCUAAAUUUCUUAGAGAUUUUAUUGGUCUAUAAAAUCCAAAAUUUGAAGAACCACCUCUUUUAAUAUGACCCAUAGUAUCAUUUCAGUUAGCUAAUUUGCUCUGAAUUAAAUGGCAGAUUUAUUUUCAGUUCCUGAAUUCAUUACUGGUGGUCAUGGUUGGUGUGGUUUAUUAAGGCAAUUCCUUUUCGAGUCACAUCAUUCGUAGCCUCUUCAAAUUAAAAUUUGUGAACAGGUAUACUGCCACAGGUACCCUGAAGGCUGUCUGCAUAUGAACAGGGUUUGGUUUUGUAGUCAAUAUGCCAUUCAACAAGAUGAACCCCACAGUUAGUAAAAACAAUAGCUUGCAUUGUAUUAUUACAAAGCAGUGUUUGUGUAAUGAUUACAUAUUUUCACUUACAUAAUUAUGAAAUGUACAAGUGUGACUGCUGCACAGUAAUUAGUCACAAAUGGCACACAUUUCAUGUAAAUGGCUGCAAUUCCUGUGACUCUUCCUAUUGGGGCUAGCUUCAUGAGCGUGUGACCUAUCUAGUCCCACAGGGUCCCCUUGCUCAAGAGGGCCCCAUGUUUGGUUUAAUGUGCUGUGGCUGCUGUCUUGAAAUUGUUCAUAAUUUUUGACAAGGGGACCCACCCCACAUUUCCCCUUUACACUGAGCCCUCCAAAUUACAUGGCCAUAUCCAACUGCUAUUGCAAAGAUUCAAGCUGGGCUGGGAGGUAGAAAUAGAAGGACCAGGUAGAGAGGCAGGGAGCAAGACUGAAUCCUUUUAGUCAUCUCAGGAGCCUCUGCCUCCAAUCCAACAAGAAGGGCUUCUCCUGUUACUUAGAAAGUCUUGGCUCUUUUAUUCAACUGGAACAAGGAAGAAGAAUUAGCUUUUCAGAAAAUAAAAAGUUUUGGUUAGGUCACAGUAAGGGGGAGCUGGGGAGAUGCUAUGGUUUUGAUAUGUCCCCAGAUUUCAUGUGUUGGAAACUUAAUCUCCAAAUUUGUAUGUUGAUUGGAGAUGGGGCCUUUUGGAAGUAAUUAGGAUUAGAUAAGGUCAUCAGGGUUGGAGUCCCCAUGAUGGGACUGGUAGCUUAAUAGGAAGAGGAAGAGAGAUCUGAGCUGGCAUGCUCUUGCCCUCUCACCAUGUAAUGGUGAGAAAUCAAUGUCUUUUCUUUAUAAAUUACUCAGUCUGUGGUAUUUUGUUAUAGCAACAGAACAUGAACUAAGACAGAUAAUUGAUACUGAGGAGAUGGGCUAUUGCUAGUAAGAAAUACCUGAAAAUGUGGAAGCAGCUUUGGAAGUGGGUAAUACAUAGAGGCUAGGCUCUGAGAAUAACUCACAGUGGUCAAGUGGCCUAGGAGGUGCCUUCAGGGAGACCAGAAGCACUUGAUGGGAUAAAUAGUGGUCAUAAGAUAGGCAGUGUAAACUACCUCACUCUUCCCCACUCUUCCGUAGCAUCUGCUGUGAAGAUACUGUUUCUUAUGGUUUUGUUAGUGGAUUUCUUUGUGGAGCUCAAAGUUCUGAACCCAGGUUGAUUCAACGUGAAAAUAAACAUUGAUCGUGCAGGCUCAAGGAGCCAGAAGACAGGGGUCGGGGGAUGGAAGGCGGGACAGUGGGCAAUUGGGCUCAGAGUGAUGUGUCCUCAGUGAGAAUUCCAGUUUUGCCAUAAUCUUCCCUGUGAAGUUCUGAGAAUGAGUGUACAAUGCCAUAAUGUCCUGGACUAUGGUGGGGAUGGUGGGUGUUCCCCACACUUGAGCAGAACGAAGCCUGUGUAAGCUGUGAAACUGUCAGCUUUGGAGAUUAGUCAUCCUUGCUCAGACCCUAUAAAGCUUUUGCAUUAGUUAGGCUGAUGUUUCACUUUUAACUCAUAUAAUAGGCUUCAGACACUUGGAAAUAGUGCUUUUAUCAUUAGGUAUGUUGCCAUUUUUAUUUUUUCAAGUUUCUCGCUCUCUCUCUCACCACAUAAGUACACUUAAAGCUUUACCCUUGCUAUGAGGUUAACCUAAGGCAGAGGGUAUGUUGCCAGCUAUAGGCCAAAAGUCUGGGUAGGCAUGCGAGAAAGAAAUAUUUUGGUAGCAAUAUAGCUUAGGAAGUCAAUAUUUUUUAACAUAAGUGACAGCAAAUAUUUACAAAUUCAGGCUACUGUGGGUGUUCAGAUUCUGAGUGAAAAGCAAUCUCAUGCACUGAUAUUUACUUUGAAUAUGUUCUCCUUUUUUCAGCACCCAUGACUAAUUCCCCUUUUCACAGGGUGAAGAGCAAGUUGGCUCUUGAUCUAGCCAGAAAAAAAAAAAAAGGUUUUCUUAUACUUCUGGUAGUAGGCAUGUGGUUAGAAUACAGGAGUAAGAAAACAAAUGUGACUCUUAAAAUUAUAGUACACAUUAAUAAACGAACUAAACAUCUAAAUGUUGCUAAAGUGACUGAAUCACAGAUCCACUGUUUCUUACUCUGGUUUUUGCUAGAGGGGCAAUGAACAUGUAAAUUGAGGGUACAAUGCAGCAAAUGAACUAAAUUAGAGACUUUAUUUGAGUAUUGUUGAUGCCGGGAGAGAUGAGAAAAAUAAGACAAACCUUGCCUUCAAGGAACUUAUAUUUGUGAGGAAAAUACAUCAACAAAGCAAAGUCAAGUAAUCAUAAAAAUAUGAACGGCUCUUUAACAGUAGAAGGGAGGGAGAAAGCUGAGCGUGGUUAAUUUAUACAUGGAAUGUAUGAAGUUGUUUCAGAGAGGCAAGAAAUUAUUUGCCUCUCUGAGUCUUCCUGGAAACAGUCUCCCUGGAGGAGGUAGAUUUGAGUAUUGAAAGGAGCAUUCUAGGCAGGCAGAAGGCAUGAGUGGAAUCACAGAGGUGGUGAAAGAUCCAUGAGAGUGAGAUGAGUAAGCCAGGCUGGCUGAUGUGAGGUUUUGGGAUGGUGAAUAAUUGGAGACUGUGCUGGAAAUAGCUAGUGCAUUGGACUCCAGAGGGUCUUAAUUGGUGGGACAGGAGCUUCUGCAUGCACCAUGAAAGACCUGCUCUGACACAGUGAAAAUCUCUGCAUCUCCCUUUCCCACUGAGUCAUCUUAGGCUUCCCUCUCUGCUUUUCCCUUGAAGCCAGGAGUCCAUUCCCAGUGGGCAGGCCCAUCCUUCCUGAAAUCCAGCACAAGAUGAGGCCUGGUAGGUGAGUGUGCAGGGCCAUGGUGCAGACUCCUCCAAGCUCAUCAUUACUCCAGCUUGGUCAGGGUCUGUUUGGAAAAUGGAGUGGUGACAUCCUCUUGCCUCAGGAUGUGUGGAAGCUCCUUCCAUGUAUACAGUAGAAACAGAGCAUCUCUGAUCCUUUAUUACCCCCAGAACCCACUCUCCUGGCUCCUGGCCGAAGGGCCUGAGAAGCAAUUGUAAAAUUGGGAGCUUGCCCAAAGGACCAGUACUAUAUAAAGAUUCAUUUCAAACCCUGAGCAAGGCGUUACGGAUGCAGACCUGAUAAUGAGCCAUUAUGAGAAAAUGAAAAGCACAGACUUUGUGGUGGUGCCCUCAGAGCUAAGUAAUUCUGGAGAGUAAUUAUGAAGCAGAAGAAUGAUUAUACAAACUGCAGACUAAACAUUUAGGCCCUGUGUGUGAGGCCAGCUGACAAAGCAGAGGUAAUUAAUAGGCAGUUACAAUGUGGAAGAUUCUGGAAAGUAGAGUUCUGUUGUCUGAAAUUUAGUCUGACAGAGGAAUAUUAGCAAGAUAAAUGUAUUUGGACCAAGCACUCCCGAGAGGAAGGGCAUGCUCAAAUUGUUUCUGUAAAAAGUCUCUGGCGGUGUUUGGCUCCCUUCUGCGUCCUUCAUGAAACAGUUCUCCUUGAGUAUUACGGUUGGCAAGCAUGUGGGUGGGGGAGAUGUCACACGCACCCGCUCCAGCUGUACAAGCAAGCCACUGCGAGGAUUAGACGCUUGUUAGUUAUGAACUUAGGUGUCUGGUCUGUUUCUUUGCCUUUCAAAGGCACUUCCUGGCAGAGAGGUACAAUGGUGCUUUGCAGGAAACCCUGUGCCCACAGCAUCUGUUCUGCAGCUUGGCAGACCGCAGCUGGCCCUGAGCAUGGCCUACUAAUUCUCUGGGUCAGGUGUGGCUGUGGUGAGAUGGAUCUCAGCCAGGUAAGACCCUCUAAUCUCUGUUUUCUUUCUCCUGCCAUAGAUACACUGAUGAUUGGAGGGUAUGACAGGAAUUCUUGCCUGCCUUUGGGUCGUGAGGGAAACAGAGACAGCGUAAUGGCUUUUUGGAGUGCCAGGAGCAGAGUCCCCAGAGUUCAUUCUUAGAAAACUAUGAAGCUGUUCUUUGAACUCCAACUUUUUCUCCUAUAUUCAUUCAGGGCUCUUUCCUCUACAACCCCCUCAUUCUUGCUGUUGAUAGAUGCCUCUUUCCUACUCUCUAAAUGUCCAAUUUUAUCUUCCUUUGGAAUGCCAUCAAAUUCUUCCUCCCUUUUUCUGUACCCCACCUCCAAAAAUAAUCCCAACACCCACCUCGUCAGAGUGUCCAUUUAUUUCCUCAGGGCUAAUCCCAGAAGGAGCAUACAAGUUGGUGAACUCAUACUAAUAUGUGAAUGAUUGUUGCCCUUGGAUGGUUAGAAAAUCAAGGUAGUUGUCCACUGUAGAAGAUUGUUUAAAGCCAAGUGGUUAAGAAUAUUCUAUAUCCUUCCUUUUGCAUAUAUUAUCUCGUUCAUCCUUGUGAAGCAGAUAAUCUCACCAUCUCAAUGUACAGAAAAGGAAACUGAGGCUCAGAACAUUUUGAGUAGCCUACUUAAAUAGUCUAGGCAGAGAUUGAACCCCCACGUCUCUGGCCCCAAGAGGUCUUGAUAAUUCCCUCACAACUGCUGCCUAACAGCAGAUAAAAUAUAUUUGGAUUCUUCUCACCUUUAAGAAAACCUAGUAAGUUAAUCUCUAAAAAUCAGCAAUCUGCUCAGGGGAUACAGGGAGAACUAGGACUAUUGUCCCAAAUGUGUAGUCAUAUUUAUCUGCUUACCAAAUGACCAUGUGUUGAAUCCCUGAAAACCAUGGGAGAAAUACCAAUUAAAAAAAAAAUCAGAGUUCUGUGACUUCUUCUUUACUAGGUUUCCCUAAAAUUAUGUUUUACUACAAAACCCUGAGUAUAGACCACAUGCUACGAGAUGAUCCGUGAUAUCUCUUAGCCCAGUUAUAACAACUUACAGUUUUCCUUUUUUUUUUCUAAUUGAAUACAAUGUUCCCAAUUAUAUUAGUUAUAAAAGAUAAUUGCAAAAACCAUGCCUGGUCAUUUAAAGUCAUCUUCUUCUUGAACCAGUUGGUUCCAUCUGGUCUUCUGGAUGAAAGAAGUGGAAGACACUGAGCUGAGUUCUGCCCUCCAGUGAGCUUUGUUCUCCAGAAGUUACUUUCUAUGAUGCCAAACCCACACAUCUGGUGAGAAGCAGAUGAGGAAGUUUCCCUUGGGAUAACCCAACUGGAGGUGAUUCACAUCACUCAAGGGUGAUGCCAUAGUCAGAAAAGGAAACUUGACUUAGGCAGAAAAGGAAUUGUUGUCUCUCAUAACCAAACCAUGGGAGCAUAGGGUUGUGGCUGGACCUUAGGAAUAAUCUGGAUGAGGAGUCAAUGAUCCUAAGCCUUUGUCUCCCCAUCCCUGGCCUCUGCUUUUCUGUACUUGUUGAUUUCAUUUUGUCUGACAGACAUCCUCCUGACAGCUGAAAACAAGACCAGCAGAAGCAACCAACCCUCACUGCUCACAGCUUGGGCCCAGUGCUCAGCCCCAGGACCAGCUGACACUGAUAGUAGCUGUUUUAAACCACAGGAAUAAAAUGGAGGAAAAAUCAUCUUCCAAAGACGAGAAAUGCUGCUCACAAAAGAAAGGUGCUGUGUAGAUUCCCAGUAAACAAUAUUAUCUAUAAAUGACUCUGGGAAUCACUAAUAAGUGAUGAUGAAGCUGAUUAUGCAUUAUAUAAAUGUUUAGAUUUGAAAAAAAUUGAUUUAUAGCAUAUAAAAUCCCAUUAUUUUAUAUUACUGAAAUAGGAAUAUGAAGGAAUGGAAACAUUUUAUUUUAAAAACAUAAAGUUACACUAAGACAUUAGCUCCUUUGACUCACAUAUUUCAAAAACAAUGACGGUUUUCAGUGGAAAAUAAUGCUAAGAAGUUCUGAAAAUAACAGUAAUAAGGAAGAAUUUGAGUAAUGAAACAUUUAUUCACUCAUUUUCCUUCAAGUAUGUACAAUAUAGCUAUAAAAUAAUUAGACUAAAAAAUGGCAGGCACAGCAGAACCUUAAACCAACAAAUUUAAAGUAUAGACAUUUUGUUGGUAUAAUAAGAGCAUUAAUAUGUAUUGAAUGUUUACCAAGUGCAGGUAACUAUUAUAAAACCUUUAUUGGCAUGAUCUGAAUUAGUUCUCAAAACAAAUAGUUGGCAAACUAAGGCCUGUGGGCCAAACUCGGCCCACCUUCUAUUUUUGUACAGAGUUUUAUUGGAACACAGCAACACUCAUUCAAUUAUGCAUUGUCUAUGGCUACUUUUAUGCUACAGAAUUGAGCUGUAGUGGCAGAGACUGUAUGGACUACAGAGCCUGAAGAAUUUGCCAUCUGGCCCUUUACAGAAGAAGUUAGUUGAUCCCUGCAAAACAAUCCAAUGGAGUAGGUACUGUUAUUUCUGCUUUACCCCAAGGUCACAGAAUGGUAGUUGUCAGGGUAGUGAUUCAAAUCCUGAACUGUCUGACUAUAAAGUCUAUCAUCUUUUUAGAUAGAUUUAUAGCACAGAGCACAGGCCCUAGAGUCAGACUGUUUGGGUUCAGAUCAGAUUCUACCAUCUAGUAACUGCAUAUUGGACAGUUUGCUUAACUGCCCUGUACCUCGGAUUCCUCCAUAACUCUUCCCAUUGGUAAUAGAUGUGGCUGGUCAUCCUUCGUGUCAGUACAGGCCUUGGACCCGGGGUGUCUGUCCUAGGCCCUGCAUCUCAGGGCCUCCCAUGCUUUGGAGUGCCUCCUUCAACAUUCUCAAAGUUUCUCUGGGAACAGCUGGAGUAGCAGUGCCAUCUGGGCAGGGUACCCUGAGCUGGGACCAGUAAGUAUCCUAGUCCCCAUUUCUGCCCUUUGGAUUGCUCUUUGAUCUCUACUUCCCAGCCCUCAUGUGGGGCUGAUCUGAUGCCCCAAGGAGCUCCAGGACUCAUAUCUGUGGGUUUAUUUUGGGAUCCUUGACCUGGCCCUGAUUCCGGGUGGGUGACCAGAUGAGCCACUGCUCCCCAGAAUAGCCCAGUUUUUCUUGUUGAGUCACCAGGCAAGUGCAGACAUGUUGAUUUUGAUGACUCUCACUUACGUAAAACCCAUACGUUCAGGGCUCUGAGGUUCUCAUGGCCCACUGCUGGCCCUUGACUAGAGCCAUAUGUGGGGUCCAUGUGUCAGGUCUCACCUCUCCAUGUCUGAAUAAAUAGUGGCUUCCAUUCUACAGCACCCCAAGGUAGUAAAGGUGGUGUCACUUACCCUCUCCCCUGUACCCCUCCCAUCACUAGCACCAGGAAAGUCAAACCCCAUCGCUGAGCAUUCCUCCAGAGCAUUGUCUGUCCCCAAAGAACAUUUGACACUUGUUCUGCAAUGUUAGCAGACCCUCCUGCUUGAGGCCCUCCAAUCGAUGUGUUGCCUGUGUCAAUGUGUUGACAUGAACCCUCUGUGCUUAAGCCAUGUUGGGGAGACGUGGACAUUUCUUGUACAAAUAGGACCACUCUUCUUUUUCUACCCAUGGGUUUCCCCCACCUCCCCAUGGUGAAAGUGUGUGGAAGGCAAAGGUGCUGUCAACAUUAAAAGAAAUCACAUUCUAGGAAUGCAGGAAUUACCGUAGGGAGUUCAAGAGAAGAUAUGGUCAGAAAAUAUGCUCUUCUAUAUUUAUGCUAUAAAAUUUCAAACAGUGAAUUUAACAUUCUCAGAAAAUGAAUUAACAUUCACAUUUUCCUGCAUAUUCUGGGCAAGACUUGACUUUGUGGUCAUCAUCUCCAAAACACAGUAACCGCCCUCCCUUGAGAGCAUCAGUGGAAGCCAGGAUUCAUGGGUGGCAGCAGGGAUGACACAACAUCAUGAUUGAUGAUAUAACCAGCAUUAAAUAAAUGAUAUUAAGGAAAUCCAGAGGCUAGAAAAGCUGUUAUUUCAAUACAAACAAAUGCUGAAGAGCCAGUGUUGUAAUAACAGCAUUGCAACCCUUUUCUCCCAGUGAGACAUGUGGAAUUAGCACAUCUAACAAUAAAAAACACAAAGAGGAUUCUGGCAUCUGCACAGAAAGUGAUGGUGCCUAGACACUAUGAAAAAAUCUUCCCUUGCACUGAUUGAACAAUAAGCAAAUACAAAAAUACCUGUUCUUUACCCAUUAUUCUAAAUCUUCAUUGAUAAAUCAUGACUCAGAUAGGCCUACGAAUUUUGUAAAACAUUAAAUCAAAUUCCUUAUACAGACAGGGACUUGGCAGAAAAUAUUUUCCAGGGACACAUACCAUAAAGAUGCCCUGCUUGGUAUUACCUCAUUUUCUUUUCUAUGAAGUCACUCUUGCUUUCACUUGCAGUUUCUCCUGUCUUUCUUCACGUUGGUGCUUUCCCAUGUUUUUUUUUUUUUUCUCGUUUAGGGUGUUCUUUCCUUCUUUUCAAAAAUCACUUUAUGCUUUGUAAUAUUUGUAGCCCUCAACUUCUUUCCAAGCAGGUAAUUUUGCCUUUCUCUCUGUCUCUUUGGUCAUCUGCCUGUCUUAGCCUUUCAGACAUUCUCACACUGUAAUACACACAUGCACGUGCACACACACACUCUAUACAUAUACACUAUGCACAUAUCAUAUAUACACACAACUGAUAAACAUUUUGUUUUAACGUACAAGCAGCAUGUUUACACAGAAUUUGUCCUUGGCUUUAGUAACUAUACUCACCAAAUAGAGGGCUACAUAUGUGAUACAGGAGAGUCAGUCCAGGAUUACUUGCUUUCAUUCUCAAUCUUGUCUGGAUAAUCAGGUUACAGUAUGCUAAGGACAUCAAGAUGCCCAGAAUGGCACAAGUGGAAAUUCUUUUAGAUGCCUUGUUGUGCGCUCUUGAGUGUCUGUGGUUAGAACUUGAUUCUUUACUGGCCUAUGGAUCAAGUGUCCUGUGGUUUGUGACAGCUGCAGCAUUGGAUGAGAUAACUGGGGGUGCCAGGCAUAAUUCAUCCCCGUAUGUCCACAUUCUGACUAUAGAAAGCUAUUGACCUAAAAUAACAUUUUAUAUCAUUUAAAAAUAUUUGGGUAGCCUAAGAUCCAUUUUUUUGUUUUGGAUCAGGAGGUACUACAUCCAAUUUUUACAUGUCGUACCUCUUUGUUUUCACAGAUAAUUUAUAUUUCUUUAUCUCUGACACUAUUUGGCUGUCCUAGAAAUAGCUGAUGACACCAAUUAGGAGAUACGCUCAGUCACUGAUGACGUCCUAUCCUAUUAUGUGUUCAUGCACAGCAGGGCAGGGUAUCUGAAAUGCAUUUGCUUUAGCACAUUUAGAUAAUGUGUGGGAAAGGUGACAGGUUUUUAUUUUCUUUUUUGCCAAUUUGUACAUUAGUGUCUCUUAAGUGGCAGAUUAAAAAUUUCUUAAAGCACUAACACUGAUUAAAAAUGUUUGUUUAGGCUUGUUCAGAACUCUUAAGUGCUUGCAGGAGCCAAAUCACAUUCUCGUCCUUUAAGCAAACAACAUUUUAAAAGCCUAUAAUGGCUGUAUCUUAUUGAAGCAAAUGAUAAUAACUUUCUAUAGGGCUAUUUUCUUUUAUAAGGUAAAUAACUAAAACUUGUAAAUAUGGAAAAAUAAUCCAGAUCCAUAGACAUAUUUGUAAGUAUAUAUUUCUUAAAAAUGUUUCAGUCCUAUUAGUCUCUAUCAUUUUAAUACACUGGCAAAAUAUAUAGUACUUUGUUCUUUUCUCAAAACUCUUUUUCAGAAUUUAUGGCAUUUCUUGUACCUGGUAAAGACUACUGAUAAGCCAUUUCUUGUGGACUAAUAAAAAAAAUUAGUUUUUGGUAAGCAUUAAUUUUAGUCUCUGCUUUUUAUCUGUUUAUUCAUUCUUUCAUCCUUCAUUCAGCAAUAGCUUCUGUGCUGGGCUGGGAGUCAGGUUGGAGGAAUGUGCCCUCUCACCAGGAGGAUGGACUUGAUUGUAUCACUGUGGGGGACCCACUGAAUAGUGGGACCUCUGCAAAGUGCAGUGCAGCCCAAGAGGAGAGAACAACUGAUUCUAACACAGGCUUCACAGAGAAGGUGACAGAGGUUUUAACGGGUUAGUAAAAAAGGAGUUCAUGCAAAGACAGAAAGGCUGAAAAGACGGGUAUUUGGGGAGUUCUGCAAUGGUAAAUGAGGGGGAAGCUAAAUGUGUGUGGCUGGUGGCAUAAGUAACGUGGGAUGUGUAGAUUGAGGCCAGAAGGCGAAGGGACUUGAGUGCCAUUUUCAAGACUUUGUUUGGACUUUGUCUCCUAGCUAUGGAGACCUCAUAAGGACCUUUAGUCAGGGUGGUGACUUAAGAGUGGGCACUAUUGGAAUCAGAGGCUCUUACAAUAACUGUGAGAGGGAAUAAGGACUUAAGGCAAAGACCUUCUUUGUGAUUAUAGACAAAUUUAUUAUGCAAUACAAUAGAUAAAAAAGAUUAAUGCAUAAGUCUUCAUAGCCCCUCUUCCUCUUCUUCCCCAUACCCCCCAGGAAAAUUCUAGCAGAGCUAUGGAUUAUGAAUUGGAUUUUCUUUGGAGUUCUUUAAGAGAAGAAUAUAAAUAUUCUAAAUGCUUUAAUUCUUCUUUGUUGCUACAUCUUGAUUUGUUUGUUUUUUCACUGUAACUGCACUGAGAUCAGUCCCCAUGGAGCUCUAGGUUAUUAGGGCUACAUAACAUGUUUUUUUUUUAGGAGAGCCAGUAUAAUGUUGGGUGACCCAAAGGUUUAUGCCUACUUGGGGGCAGUUUGAAGACCUACUAGUUAGUCACAUCUACAAAGAUAAGAUAGGCAAGGUUUUAAAAACCCAAAUCCUGUCUGGUUUCCUGCUACCACAGUAAUUUCCUGAGGAAUACUCCAGGAUAAGAACAUGCUGUUUAUUACCAGCUAGGGCUUUGUCCUUGACACCUCACAAAAGUGCCUGUUCCAGGUCAUGAACUUGGGUCAAUCUGUGGGCAAGAUGUAAGAACCCUUUGCCUCCUCUGAACUCGGAAGCAAUUGAGAUGACAUCCAUCUUUGGAUGUUCUCUCCUGGACUCUACCUGGUUCCUGCUUGGUUUUCUAACAGAGGGAAAAAAGAGGAUGCCGCUUUCCAACCAUAAGGAGGCCUCCAUCCAAUCUUAUCCUAUCAGCUGCCAGGAAGGAAAAAGAGAGAAGUGAUCUCUGUUCUAAGAAAGUUGCAUUUUAAAGGAAGAAGUUCUGAAUGAAGUGCCCCAAUCAGGAGCAAGGAUGCUUAUCUUCUUUCCUCCUCUGAUAUGGUUUGACCGUGUCCCUACCCAAAUCUUAUCUUGAAUUGUAGUUCCCAUAAUCCCCAUGUGUCAUGGGAGGGACCCAGUGGGAGGUAAUCGAAUCAUGGUGGUGUUUACCUGCAUGCUGUUCUCGUGAUAGUAAGUUCUCAUGAGAUCUGAUGGUUUUAUAGGGGCUUUUCCCCUCCUUCUCUCUGCACUUCUUCUUGCUGCCACCAUGUGAAGAAGGGUGUGUUUGCUUCCAUUUCUGCCGUGAUUCUCUUUCCUGAGGCCUCCCCAGCCCUGCAGAAGUGUGAGUCAAUUAAACCUCUUUCCUGUAUAUUUAAUCAACUAUCUAGUCUCUGUUAUGUUGCUCCAUUAGCAGCAUGAGAACAGACUAAUACAGCUAACCCACUUUACCCUUAGCAGCAUAGAUUCAAUUCCACCUUCUUUGUGGAAUUGAAUUCCUAAUUCAUAUUAGGGUGUUGGGCAGAGUGAGUAUUUGACUUUCAUUUAUUCAUUGGAUUUUACAUCCAGGUUGUGCCACUAGCACAAACAGUUCAUGGAGGGCCUUGUAUACCUGUUUAGGAAUUUGGGCUUUGUAUGGUAAAGGAGAGUUUCUGAAGGUUGUUAAUUAGGGACUUUAUGGGUUUAGAUGUUCAGUUAGAGAAGCUUAAAAUAUUUUUUAAAAUAUAGUAUCUAAAAAAUAUUUUUAGAGCCCAUCACUCAAAAUUAAAAAGGAAAAACAUUGGCAGGGGUCAUUCUAAAGACAGUGAAAUAGUUAGGAAGCUGUUGCUAUAUAAUAGAAGCAAGGUAUGAUGAGGGCCUGAAUGGAGUCAGUGGCAGUGGGAUUGGAGAAAAGAGAUUGGACAUGAGAAAUAUUUAGGAGGCAAAAGAAGAGGGUUGUGUGGAAAAAGGAGUCACUUCCCGGGUUUUGUCCUGAGAAGCUGGCUGGAUGGUAUUGUCACUCACAAGCACAGGAGAAGGAGGAUGGAAGCAUAUUUUUGUUGGUGGUGAACUUGAUUUGAAAUAUGGUAAAUUUGGGGUUCUGGCAGGCCAAACAAGCAGAGAUGUCCAGGGCUCAUCUGGAUAUUCAGGUCUGAAGCCCAGGAGUUGUAUUUGGGCAGGAGAUAGAGAUGUGGGAGUCAUCAGAAAAUAGAUGGCAGUUGAAGCUCUGAAACAAGACAUCACCAAACAGAAGAAUGAGAAUGACCCUAGGGUGCGUGGUAGCAAUGGGGUCAGUAGUCGAAGAAGAACCGGGAAGGAUUCACAGUGGUGUAGUUGGUGGGAGAGAAGGAAAACCAGAGAGAAGGGAGUGAGAGGAGCAGCAGUGCCCUGGAGAGUCAAGUGCUGCAGAGAAGAGAAGAAAGGGAGGUAGGGUGGGGAACAUCUGUGACUUUAGGAAGGUGGUUCAUUGGUGACUGCUGAGCGCAGCUUCAGUGAACGGUGGCAGUAGAUCUGGAGGAAAGUGACUCAGUGAAUGUGAGGUGAGCAAAUGGAGACAUUGGUGUAAAUGCCCCUUUCGAGGUUGUGGAAGUGGCUCACGUUUUUGAGGCAGGGCUGUGUUUGUUUUUCAGAGGUAGGGACUCGAGCAUAUUCUCUGCAGAAGCCCCCAGUCAGUGAGACUGGUAAAGACUGUUGUCAUGUAGUCAGAGGCAGAGUCUCAGUUCUACUCCUUCUCUUAUCUCUGUCACACUGAACACUUCUGCUCUUUCUUAAAUCACCAGUUGGCUCCUGGGGCUCCCAGGCCUUUCUGGGUUUGCUCUGGGUUUAUUCACCUCUUGUGUCAGUCUGUUCUCAUACUGCUAUGAAGCAAUACCCGAGACUGGGUAAUUUAUAAAGGAAAGAGGUUGAAUUGACUCAUAGUUCUGCAGGACUGGGGUUGCCUCAGGAAACUUAUGGUCAUGGCAGAAGCGGAAGCAAACAUGUCCUUCACGUGGCAGCAGGAGAGAGAAGUGCAAAGGGGGAAAACCCCUUAUAUAAAAACAUCAGAUCUUGUGAGAACUCACUAUCAUGAGAACAACAUGAGGGUAACUGCCCCCAUGAUUCAAUUAUCUCCUGCUGGGUCCCUCCCAUGACACGUGGGGAUUACGGGAACUACAAUUCAAGAUGAGAUUUGGCUGGGGAUGUAGCCAAACCACAUCACCCCUGUUAGAGGUGGAGGAUUUGCUGUGCCCCACUCACUGCCACCCCCACUGCCACCAGGGCAGUCAUGUCUCACAUGGUGCGACAUUUGGUAUCCCCACUCCUUCACCCACUUGUGCCUUCAGAGAGGACUCGGAGCCCUCAGGAGAGCUACAGGGUAGUCCCGUAAAUAGCCAGGGGCCAGUGAGAUGAUGUACUCUGAGGAGAGGCUUCCCACAAUACAAACCUUAGGUGUCAAAUGUGCUAUGAGGACACUGAGGCAUUGUACCCUCAGCACCUGUGGCAGGUAGGUGGGGCCCAGGCCAGCCACAACAGCCCUUUCAUUUCCCCAUGGUGCUGUCCCAAUGUCAUAAUUUUCUUUGUCAUGAUAUGGGAAGCACUGCCUGAUGGGGCCCCACCUCCAGCACAUUGGCUGUCUCUCUGUCACUUGGCUUCCUGAAUGGUAUUUAAACGCCCCCCGCAUCACUGUUGGGUCUCAGCAAACUCUCUGGCCUCUUGUUCAAUUUGCCCUCUGCAUACUGGGAAGGCCUAUUUAACUUUGCCUGGCAUCUGUGUGGAAGAAACACUUCUUAGGCAAAGAGCUCCUGGAAGACAAUCUCCCUAGCAACAAUGAAGCAUCCUCUCUACAGUCUUUUCUGCCUCUCUUUUGUUGUUAUCUGGAUGACAGGGAUUGAAUCUGGCCUCUGCCCAUAUCAAAUGCUGUCUGGGGCUGGAAACAAGCCUCAAAACAUGUUUUAAAUAUUUUAUUUCCCCCCGUCUCCCCUAAGUCUGCCCACCAUGCAUACGCUUGAUUAAAGUUAUGCCCCAGUGAUCAACUGUGAGUGACAGUGACCCUCCUAAAGGUAGUCUACUUAGCCUCUGGGCUCAGGCAACACACCUGUGUCUGAUUAGACACUGUUACCCUGCUUGAACCUGUGCCACAUGAAAGCAGCUUUCUCUUGUGCUCUGGUAGUGGGAGAUGCUUUCUUGUAAUGUUAAUGCAGGGCUAGACUUUUCUCCUGCUGAUCCUUUGCCUGGAAUGUUCUCCUCUUCCUUGUCACCAGCCAGAGCACCACUAAAUCAGUGUAAACUCCUUAAGGGAAGACUAAAGUCCUGGGAAGUGGGGUCAUCCUGGCCUUAUCUCCUUAAAGAACCUAACUCUUCAAGGGGGUCUUCCCUGUUAACCCUCUGUAUUAGUUGGCUAGGGCUGCAGUUGCCAGUACCAUGAACUGCGUGACUUAAACAACAGAAACUAAUUGUCUCACAGUUUUGGAGAUCAAGAUCAAGGUGCCAGCAGGUUUGGUUUCUCCUGAGACCUCUUUCUUUGGCUUGCAGAUGGCCACCUUCUUGUUGUGUCCUCCCAUGGCCUUUCAUCUGUGUGUGUGCAUCCCUAAUGUCUCUUCCCCUUUUUAUAAGGACGUGAGUCCUAUCCAAUUAGGGUCCCACCCUUAUGAGCUCAUUCAGCCUUAAUUACUUCUUCAAAGGCUUUAGCUCCAAAUAUAGUCACACUGAGGGUUAGGGCUUCAACAUAUGAAUUUUAAGGGAACACAGUUCAGUCCACCUCAUUAUCCUUAACGUUUUCCAUUUUUCUGUAUUCUCUCCAGUGCUUGGGUAUUGCAUCAGUUUCCUAUAAUUGCUUUAGCAAAUUACUAAAAACUUGGUGGCUAUAAACAACAGAAAUUUAUUGUCUCACAGUUCUAGAGGCCAGAAGUCUGAAAUCGGUGUCACUGGGCCGAAAUCAAGCUGUCAGCAAGGCUGUACUCCCUCCAGAGGCUCUAGGGGGAAAUCUGUCCCUUGCCUUUUUCACUUUUUGGUGGCUGGCAGCAUUCCUUGAUUUCUGGAUGCAUCAAUCCAUCCUCUGUGGUCACAUUGUCUACUCCUCUUCUGGUCAAAUUUCCCUUUGCCUCUCUCUUAUAGGGACAAUCGUGAUUGCAUUUAGGGUCCACCCAGAUAAUCCAGACUAAUGCCCCAUCUCAAGAUCCUUAACUUAAUCAUAUCUGUAAGGCCCCUUUUACCAAAUAAGGUGACAUUUAUAAGUUCCAGACAUUAGAAUCUCCUAUCUUGGGGGCCAUUAUUCCACCAGCCACAGGAGUAUUGUUCAUAAUAUAUCAUUUGAUGUUUAAACAAAUGAUGUAUCAUUUGAUGUUUAACAGCUGACCUACAAAAAGAGCCCUUGUUGCAAGGGCAGGAGACACAAAGAUGUUUUUGCUGGGUGUGUUCAGACAAGAUCACACCCUUCAUACCAUAAUCUAGAGCCUUGGCUCUGUCCUCCCACAUGACCUUCGCCUGAGGGGAGGGGCUGGGGACUAGGGAGCCAAGGAGUCUCCCUGGGGAGGUGAGGUUUCAGAUGAUCCAGGGGUUGGAAGAAGUUUCUCCCAUGCAUUUUUAUCUCAUGGCUGGUUAAGAGGGGUGGGCAUCCCACUCCCGGAAGCCAUUUCACUUUGAAUACUUUGUUUACUUCUGGUUAGAAGAGUCUUCAGGAGUGUGGGCUCUGGUAAGAAGGUCCCAUUUUCCCUGGACUUAUACAACCAGGUCUGCUUCUUGUGUUUUGCUAUCGUGACACUUUUACAAUUUUUCCUCUCAGUUACCUAAGGUACCUGAUGAAUAGUCAACAUGUUUGUGAAGUCCAGAGUGCCAGAUGUAUUGAAAAUGAGCAAUUUUAAUCAACGGUGAACCUACCUCUUUAUAUUUUUUUUUUAAAAAGAGGGCGAUUACUGAAGCUUCACAAAUAGUGCUUUAUUUAGUCAUAGGAGCCAUGAUCUGGUACUAGGAUGGGAGGACUUUAUUGGCUGCUAAUCUAAGAUUGUGUUUGUCUGUUCUUCCUUCUUGCCAUUUAUGGUGGAAAAAUCUUCCAGAGCACCACAGGUGUUUUGUUUCUUGCUUCUAGUCCCAUCCCAAUUUCAUUUUCAUGAAAUGGGAGUCAGGUUUGGAAGAUAAUUACCAAUUUCCUUUUCCUACUUUUAACAAUGCCCCUGCUUACGGUACAAAGUUGUGUCUGAACAUUACUGCUUAUUCUGAAAAACUCAAUAUGUAAUUUUUAAUGUCGUUUCAAGCCUUUUGAAGUUUCAUCUGUUUCUGGGGCAUUGCUAAUGGUUUACCUUACAACGCAGAAAGAACUUAUAAAGGAGAUGUCAGGAGAAAAUAAUAAUCUCCUCAAUGCAAUCAUGUCAUUAAGAUGCUACUGUUAAGAGUGGGGGAUGAGGCAGAGGAAAGACCAGACAGUGACUUAGAAACAUGAGCAUUUGGCAUCGAAGGCAUUACUGUCUUGAAGCCUUCUGGCCUGUAGGGUGUAUGGAAACAUGUCAGUUAUGGAGAGUUUUAUAUUAAUCUCCUGUACCAUCUAAUUUGGUUGAUUCAAAAUUAGGUUUAAUUACAAGUGAUCUUCUGGCACUAGGGAGACCGGCCAACAAUAACCUUCAUUAUCUCUUCUGGUGAAGGCCACAUUUGCUCUCAGGUAAAUCUCUCAGAAAAGCUCAUCACUGCCCAUUUUUCUUUGGUCCCAGGCAAAAUUAUGCAUUACAUGAACUCACUCUUCAUGUUUUUCCUGGUCUCUCUUGCUACCUGGUCCCAGGCCAGUUGCUAGAGACUUGUGCUCCCACAGUGGGCAUCUGAUAAGUGAGUUCACUUUUCACUGUUGGUGGCUUGCAGAUGUUGUUACUCCUGGAAUUAUUCUAAGGGGACUCCAUGCCUAAUAGAAAAAGCCUCACCUAAAAAGGAACCCAUCUCCAAGGGUAGAUUUUUCUAGCCCUGGGGCAGCUGAGUGUAGAAGAAAUUGUUUUGAGCAGUACUGUUUUUCUAGGGUCACACAAGUUCUGCCUAUUUCACUUGUAACAAUGCUGCCCAUGGGUAUAAGGAUGACAUCCUUUGGAGUUUUAAUGCACAUUUCCUGGGACUUAAAGAUGGGAAUUUUCUAUGGACACAGUACCUCAAAGGGUUUCUUUGUUGGGAUUUUCGAGACCCAAAUGUAAUGAAAGAAUCUUUUCACUACAGAUGAUCCUUGACUUAUGAUGGGGGUUACGUCCUGAUAAGCCCAUUGUAAGUUAAAAAAUGUAAGUAGAAAAUGUGUUUUCAAUUAAGAACCAUCCUAAGUCGGGAACCAUCUGUACUUUUGUGGGUAUUUGGGGUGCAAACGUUGGGGACCAUGUGUUAUGCUGAUAAUGACCAUCUUGCUGAUGUGCCUUGUAGGGUAAGGACUCACCCUGGGAGAGACUGUGAGUUUCCCUGAGGGGUGGACAGUCCACACGUCACCUCUGGGAAGAGGCAGGUCCUCGGAAGUCUGGGGCUUCUGCUCCUCUCUGAGCCUCAGUUCUAUGAGUCUGGACUUCAAGGAGUUUGAGAGAACUUCCAGGGCUGUUUGUUUCUACUCAAUUGAAUUGUUUUUCCUACUUUGUAAGCCAUAACUCCUGGCUCUCUUGGGUUCUAAUGACCCAGGAGACUCUUCAAUGACAUUUGGAUUCUGUUUCCUGGGGAGCUUUCUUCCUUAAUCCUGGGGAUACUCAAAGUGUAAGCCAGCCUGGGAAAAGAUGGAUUGAAAGGAGUUCCGAGGAGGGAGGAUCACGAGUUCAGGAGAUCAAGACCAUCCUGGCUAACAAGGUGAAACCCUGUCUCUACUAAAAAUACAAAAAAAAUUAGCUGGGCGUGGUGGUGGGCACCUGUAGUCCCAGUUACUAGGGAGGCUGAGGCAGGAGAAUGGCGUGAACCUGGGAGGCGGAGCUUGCAGUGAAUCGAGAUGGCGCCACUGCACUCCAGCCUGGGUGACAGAGGGAGAUUCCGUCUCAAAAAAAAAAAAAAAAAAAAAGUUCCUGGGGCUGGGCACAGUGGCUCACGCCUGUAAUCCCAGCACUUUGGGAGGCCAAGGUGAGUGGAUCAUUUGAGGUCAGGAGUUUGAGACCAGCCUGGCCAACAUGGUGAAACCCUACCUCUACUAAAUACAAAAAUUAGCCAGGCAUGGUGGUGAGCACCUGUAGUCCCAGCUACUUGGGAAGCUGAGGUAGGAGAAUCAGUUGAAACCAGGAGGUGGAGGUUGCAGUGAGCCGAGAUUGCGCUACUGCACUCCAGCUUGGGUGACAGUGAGACUCUGUCUCAAAGAAAAAGUUCCCGGGGAUAUAGCUGGUGGGACAACUGCCCAGUGUGUUCAGCCCAGGGACUGCAAUACCAGCUUGCUUCAUCUGGAGUUGUUUCAGGAGACACUUAGCCCCUCUCACUUCCUUCACCUUCGUAAAUGACUUUCCCUGAGCACCUCACGUCAACCUCACUAUUGAGGUGUCCCUACUCUGGCCUUCAGGUCUCUGAAUGGGCACUAUAGACUGGGCAUGAGCUUUCACAAAAUGCUGGCUAAUUUUAUAUAAAUAUCUAUCCUGGGAACCACCUGUUCAGCAGUCUGAUUCUAGAAUCUUCUUCUACUGGAGUCUUCUCAGGAGUGGAUCCCAAUCUUGCAGACCUAGAAGUGGGCAUUUUUUACUCCAAUCCCUGUUUCUGGACUGUUUUGAAUAGAAGCACUACUAGGAUGUGAGUGUAUCCUUUGGUUAGCUCAUCAUAUUCUUUCCCUUCCAAGAAUGCCCCCUCUCCCUAAAAUGAUCUCAGCAGACCCUCAAGGUACCUUUUGGGUCCUUCUCUUCCACAAAACUGCCCCAGGUCUCUCCCUCCCCAGAACUCAAAGCUCUUUUUUCCCCCAGUGACCCUUUUGGCAAUGAAUCACGUGCAUAUUUUGUGACACACUCCAAUAAUCACUUCAUGGUGAGCAUAAUACCCACUUCACUGACUCAGCUUUGCUCAUUUUGAUGUAUGGCAGACAUCUCUGUCUGCGUGAUGAGUCUCUGGAAUAUUAACUCUAUUCUGCACGAUGGCUUUGCUUUGGGCAGAUGUUUUUAUCUAUCACCCGUGUCGAUCUGUUUUCCAUGAGGGAAAUUUGGCUGACCUUCAGAGGAUGGAUUACUGAUCUCCCGGGAGCCAAUGGAAGUGACAUCAUUAACGGAUUUUUUUUUUUUAACAGCAAAAAUGGAAGAUAAUUAAAUGCAGCACAGUAGUUGUAAAACAGAUUUCAUUGUGUUAUACAUCACUUCAUAAAGUAAGCAUAGUUCCCAUUCUUCCACAUGAUGCUUUUUGCAGCAUUGUACCACAGAAUAAUGACUCCCUAAUAACUCAGCUGAAAAAUAUUUAGAUCUACUUGCUCUAAGAAUAAGGUCAACAUUAAACAUUCUCAGAUGAAAAGCUUGCUGGAUGAAAUAGUGCACCAUCAGAAUAAAGCAUGCAAUAUAUUUACAGUCAGAUGAAACAAGUGUGUCCAUAAAUCAACCAAAAGACCAUCUCCUCCUUUAGGAAAUACAUGUAUUGCUUAGCCAGUACCAAUAAGUUAACGUCGUGUGAAUAAUUUUGGGUAUUCUGGCCUUCCUGAAUCUCAUACAGCCAAACCAACCAGAAGGCUUCCCCGCUGGGUUGAUGGUGGCUUAUCAUUUGGCAUCUGGAAACUUCUCUUAUUUUGCUGGAUAUGGCUGUCUAGUGGGUGGCUUACUGACUUGCCUAAGAAAAAAUAAGUCAAUCAUUCAGAUUAAUCUGGGAGGCUAAUUCUAAAAUCGGAUUUUAUGAGAAUUGCUAGAUUUGGGGCUAGGUUAACCUCAUUUCCAAAAGAAAAACUCUUACUGGAGAGAAACCAUCAUGUUGGCUCAUUCUAUUGUGUUUAUAUAUUUCACAGUAAAAUGAUUCAGUCUUGCCAGGUUCCAUAUUAGGAGGAUUAGAACUACAUCACUCAAUAUUUUCUUUUGUCUGUUCUAAAAUAUUUAUCAAGUUAAUUUAUGGACUUAUGGAUUUUUUCCAUUCCAGGACUUCAUUUGCGGGGAGCCUUCAGAAAAAACAGGUCACUUGCAGUAAUAUAGAAGGACUAAACUGUGAUUCUGGAGACCCGGGUUUCUCUUUGCUGUUCAACCAGUGUAGUCUUUUGUGUGUGCUGUUAACAGUGAUUUCUGGCUCAGUGAAAUGUGAUAAUGACUUCAUAUUUGUGAAGAGCUAAGUAUCCUGAUAUUUUGAUCUUUUCAAGCAGAUAAUUUCAGGCAGAAAUGAUAUAGCUUGUCUUUUGUUAGGUCUCACUAGGGGAAAAAAAUCGCUCACAAGAGCCUUGCCUACCUCAACAAGAAGUGUCUCUACUUAUACAAAUGGCAUGGUUUCUUUUCUGGUUACUGGGUCACAGGUGGCUCGCCAUUUGCUUUGAGUUUGCAAAUAAAGUACAUCUUGGGUUUCCUUAUCUUUAAACAAGUAAAGAUAAAUUAGGUUAAAGUGGGAGAAGGUUCACAGGAUGAGAACAUCAAUUCAGCUCACAGCAGGUAUGGGUCUAAAGUGCCUCUCUGCAGGAAAGAAAGCCACCACCAGCAGUCCACCUGCUCUCAGGGGAAGGGACCAGGCAUUGGAAAGGCUGCCUCGGGAGAAGUGACUCAACAAAAUCAUAAGCCGCAUGUAGCUUUGUUUCCUCUUUCUAAUACGGGCAUAUUUAUUGCCAUCUCAAUUAUACCUAAUUCAAUUAAUGGAAGAAAAUGUACAUGAAAGAACUCCCAGAAACUAAAAUGGCUAACUGUAGGCAGGAUGUGUGAUUAAUAUUUAGAAUCUAUCAAACCCAGUACUGGCAGGGCUGUUCUCUCCCCAGUACUUACCAGAGAGGGAGUAGAGCUAAUGCACAGCCAUACUCCUCCCCUUUUCAUGAAAUAGUUUCAUCUUUACCUUGAGGUCACGCUACAGAUGAAGAGUAAAAUGAAAGACUGAAUAUGAUCAAUACUAAUUAAAAUGGGGGGGAGGUAUUGAAAAGAGUCUAAAAUUGGCUACAAAUAAUGAGAUACAUUGGACUCUUCGUCAUUAACAAGAUUUAGAAUAGGCUGGGAAAUUUCUCUUUGGAACUGUGAACUGUGACGGGUGUGGUCCAACAGAAAAAACACUGGAGAGUCAUGGAUAACGAAAUACAACUGAGAAGUUACGGAAAGCACACAAUGCCCUAGGGCAAGCUUGUCCAACCUGUGGCCCGCAUGAAGUCCAACACAAAUUUUUAAACUUUCUUAAAACAGUCUGAGAUUUUUUUUUUUUUUUUUUUUUGCAAUUUUCUAUUUUUAUUUUUUUAAGCUCAUCAACUAUGGUUAGUGUUAGUGUGUUUUACAUGUGGCCCAAGAAAAUUCUUCCAAUGCGGUCCAGGGAAGCUAAAAUAUUGGACACCCCUGCCUAGGGGAACUUGUUUCGUCUACUUGGUUAGUUGUCCUAAUUGCAUUUUACCUGCAGUCCAAAGGUUAUUUUAGAUGAUAGAACUGCAAGAACCCCAAACCCAAAGAAAGAAUCGUUGAAGUGGUUGGGAGAGGAGGUCAUUUCUGAGAUACAUUUCCAGGAGAAAUACAAGUUUGAGAGAAGGAGCUGGUAGUUACUGUGUGCAAGUGUUUUUCUUUGAUGGGGAAGGAGUAGUUGGCAAAGGGACAGGAAUCUGUGUGUACAUUUCCUGCUCCUGUUUCCUUAACCACCAUCCUCAGGGCAUCUCUGGCACCUUGGGGUCGGGUAAGUGCUCUCUACUGCCCUCGUUUUAGCUGCCUUUAUCUCGUCUAUAUGGCACUUUCUGCGUGAAAAGACAUUUGCCUUACAGGGAUGAAACUGGACUUGCAAGAGUUUGCUGUAGAAGGUGUUCAAGUCAGGAAGAUGCUCAGAAAUGACCACUGAGAGGGUGGCAUCAGUGCUGACUUAAAAAAAAAAAAAAAAAUCUGACCUCACAUGUUCAUUUUUCCAAAAGUAGAGAGGCUCAGUUUCUAGCCUCUCAAACCAUAAGGAAGUAAUCAAAAUGAGAGUAGAUGGAAAUCAUCUCUUACCUUAAGGGCUCAUGUACAUUUCAGAGAAGCAAUUUCUCUAGCUAUACUUAUUCUCUUAUGGUCUUGUUUAUUACUAUAAACAAGCAAGUUCACUUUAUCAUUUACUUUUUAUUGUGUUGCUUGAAGUACCUAUGUAAUGCAAGUAUGUACUGUACUAAAAUACCUAUAUUUCCAAAUAACAUAUGUGGUGUAGCCCACAGUCUCUGCAGAAGCAUCAUGAGUAACCUGUGCCUUUACACUUUACAAUCCGUUAUUGGUUGCUGUUAAAAGUAUGAUAACAGAUGAAGAAAAAAAAACUAAGUAUGAAUACACUUUUCCAAACACGCACAUACACAGCUUACAAUGGAAUCCCAAUGGAAAUAAGUGACAACAUCUGAUGUAGAAUCUAUAAAAUGUAGACUCUGCAAUAAAAAGCCAAAGGCACGUAAAAAUAUAUUUUAACUUUAAAAAUAACUUAGUUACAGUAAUACUUUGCCUGUGUCUUACCAACAUGUAGCUGACAGUCAAAAUUUUGCAAUAUAGAUAUAAUAUAUAGGGAUAUAUAAGAACUACAAGAAAAUCCCCAAAACCCAUAAAGUUCAAAUGUGAAAACAGAAAAGUUUUAACACUGGAGAAUUCGCUAUGGUGAGCCUAAGCAAUAUAUAGAAAAGAGUCUACAAAAAGGCUUAGGUGUUAAAUAAAUUUUGACUUCCUCUUGCUCAGAAAAUGUCGGAGUGCUAUAAAGUUCCGUGAAGUUCCUUAAUGUGACUCGCUCAGCCCUUCAUAGCUAGUGCCAAUCCUGGCCAAGCCAGAUUUCUUGUGUGUCUGCAAACAAUAUGUGAGCCGAACAUCACCAAUGCCUCCUGAAAAUGGGCUCUGACUCACUUCCUUUUUUUGCCAAGAUAGGUUUUGCUUUGUUGUUUUUUUCUAAAUUGUUUUUGCAAACAGGGCAUAACAGGUAAAAAAAUACUUUGUAAGAAUAUUAUUUUAGAAAACCCAACACAAAACUGCAAAUACAGCUCCGGAAGCCCUUCUCUUCAACUGUGGUUAGUUUGUUUUUGUACCUUUUACCCCAAAGGAAAAAAGUUGGCAUCUUGUUACUUAUUUUUAUCCAUUACAUUCAGCACCUCAUCCAAAAGUGAGGGCCCAAGAUCAAGCUGCAGGGAGAGGAGGGAACCUGUAAGGUCAGAGAGGGACUCCUCUGACUUAGUCUUUCCCUUGAUGAGCUCGCAUGGGGUGGGAUGGUCAAACAUGUCCUCGGCUGGCCAGUCGGGGUACUGUUCGGACAGGCUGGAGGAGUGGCUGUCUCUGCCUUGGCUGGACUGAGAUGCAGAACCGCUGGAGCCCCACGAGGUGUCUCCCUGGUGGACUGUCCCAUUCUCCAACAGACUGCUUUUCUCCUGAGCUUUUUCCUCCAUGACGGGCUCGCAGCUAAGCCUGGGCAGCUUUGCUGGCCCGAAGGACUCCUGUUUGGAAUUAAAUGUCACUGGUGACAAUAAGGGCAACAUGAGAGCUUGGGAUCCUCCAAUGGUCGGGAGGGAGAUGGCAUUUUUGAGCACCGGGGAGGGCGUUUCUGUGAACACAGAGUCCGAGGUGCUGUUGGCCCGGAAGAACUCAUUAUGCCCAGGGAACUGGCCCAGGUGUGCUUUCUCCUGGUUUCCAGGUAAAAGCUCGUAGUUCCCUUGAAGAAAGGAAAUAUCUCCAAAGACAUCGUGCUGGCCCUCUUUGCCAAUGUGGAUGGUGUGGCGAAAGUCUCCAAGCGGGGGACUGAUCAUAUCAGGAGACAGAAUGUCCCUCAGUUUAAAUUUCUUUCCUUUCUUGUUAUUGGCUGCUUUCAGGUAAAUUGGGGUCUUGGCUGGCAUUUUGGAAUUUGAGAAUGUCUAUUUUGCAAGCGGGAGAAAGGGCCACUUUCUUCACAGAUGGUAUAUGUUUCUGAAUCCUUUUUGAUAGGAACUGUCACAUCAUUUUUCUCAAGUGGCUUCAGAAGUGGCUUCGAAAUGAGAUGGGGUCAAAGAGAACCUUCCUGAGGUUACGGCCAAGUGAGGCUUCCUAGAGAGCCAGUUACAUCAUCCAGUCUUGACCACAACCAGGACAAACCUGCAGAAGAAACCAAAGCAGGUUAUAAGCUAAAGACCCUUUUGGGUGCCCUAGGGCCUCCCUUUUCACAAGAGCCUGUAAAUAAUGGCAGGGCCAGUUUCAACUAAUGCUGAACUUAUUGUUUCCCUCCAGUAAGUGGAUAAAAAUUUUCAUCUUAGAGAAAACAGGAAAGAGAAAGACCUAAAAACCCCAUAUCUAUGACACCAGUACUUUUUAGACAUAGCCAUGGGCACAUCUUCUGGACAUGUCUAUGGUUUUAGUCAUUUUCCUCUAAGAAUUGCUGUAAGCAUAGGAUCAGUGAUUUCAGCUCCUUAAAUACAACUGGAUUUGUUUUAAAAUACAUUUUCCUUUUGCUUUGAUGUGCAUACUAGCAACACUAAUAUUUCAUUGUUGAGUUCCAUAUGUACAUAAGUUAAUGCAAUAAAAUGAACAGUCCUAAAGGAAAGGUGCUGGAAUUAUUUAAUAAGUGACAAUAACUAUUAUAUGCUACUGUCCUAAAAAUGUUAGUGGAAUACAUUCUUACAGAUAAGAAAACGGAGAUUCAGGAUAAGCCCUUCCCCUAGAAAGUUACCUUUUCUCAAUAACAUAUAGCCAGUAAAUAAGAGAGCUAGAGUUGUAAUCAGGUUGUGGCAAAGUAUUGGGCUGUCGAGGAUGUCAGGAUUUGAAGUCAUUCUGAGAUGGGAGGAAAUGAACAAAACUGCUUCACUUCAAAGAGAAAACAUUGUGAAUCUCUAUUACAGGCUGGGCCUUCACUUGGGAACACUUCUGAAACAUUACUGAUAAGGCUAUAUCCUCCAUGCAGUAGGCAGAAUUCGAAGGGAGCCCCCAUGAUCUGCCUCCUGGUGUUAAUGCCUUUGUGAGUAGAACCUGUGACUGGCUUCUAAACAAGGGAAUGUGGCAAAGGCAAUAGGUCCCUGAUUAGGUUACAUUAUAGGAGAUUUCAUCUGAGCUGACAAGGGAGAAGACUCCCUGACUCCCUUUGCUGGCUGUGGAGAGGUGAGCAGUUACACUGUGCAAGGGCCUAUGGAAAUGAAAUCUGCCAACAAUGUUGGGGAGCUUGGAAGUAGAUCUUUUCCCCAGUUGAGCCUCUGAUGAGACCACCACCCUGACCCACACUGAAUCAUAACUCAGGGAGAUGCUGGAACUCAGCCCUGCCCAGAUUCCUGACCCACAGAACCUGUGAAAUGGUAAAUGUUGUAAGCCCUCAAGUUUGUGGUCGUUUGUUACCAGUGUAGAAAGCAACACAUCCUCCCUGCACAUACUAUAUGAUAAGAUUAGGAGGGAUGAGCUACAAGGCAUUGGGGUUGUAAUGUGCUCUUUUGCCAAUGAGAUGCUCUUAUCUCUUGAAAAUAAUCCUCCACCUCUGAUGCUGACACAGAGAAGCUAAACCCUUUCCCACUGCAGGAACUUCCCAAAUGGCUCUGCCAUGACCUCUUCCCUCAGGCGCUCCUCCCACUGGCUGCAGAGCCUGCAAAUAAAUACUCCAAGGGCUGGGUGGGUUAGUUGGUGUUUUGAAGGGAGCCACAUUUGCUUGUAGCAGCUGGAGGCUGUCUGCAUCUGCCCCAUAUUUCUUUCCUUUCAGCAAGAGUUUUAAAUUCAUUUACCAGUGGCAGGUGACAAGAACUGUGCUCCACCACCCACUGGCUCAGUAACAGCUAACUCAAUUUGGGAAGCAGCUAGCUCAGCGUGUCAGCAUGCUGGCCAGCAACCCAGGCCGGAGAAGGCUGAGAACAAUGCACUAGAGAGAGCCAGCCCCACUCGGGCUUUGGGUAUGGGGAGGAGGCAGAGAAAGUACGAGGAGGUUUGCAUUCAUGCAGAGUGGGCUGACCAUGGGGCUGCCAGCAAUGACAUGAUCGUGGGUCCUGACACUCGUUCUCAUAGUUUUAGCUCUAAUUUGGGUCUUGUUGUGGUAACAAAAGUUGAAGCCCAUGUUCUUCCUGUUAAAACAUCAGAACUUCCUUCCUGUAUGAGUGUACAAUGCCUAGUCCUGGCCUCGGGCCCCCUGCUGUUCAGAGGUGGCCUCCCUGCCCUUUGGGCACAGUGUGGCUGACUGCCUGCAGGAGCAGCUGGGUGGCCUGAGGAACAGCUGCCCACAGGAGUGGUGUCCUCAGCACACACGGCCAGGAAGGCAGCUGCCAUGGAAAGAUACAGCGUGUCCACCACAACUCAAGGGCAUGCCAGGGCUGCCUGGGGUCAGCUGAUGGAGGCAGGGUUAUGCAAGGCCAGGUCCCAGGGCAGGGGGUUCCAAUUAUUUAAAAAAAAAAAAAAAAAUCGAUCACUUAAGGCCUGGAGUUUGAGGUCAGCCUGGGCAACAUAGCAAGACCCUGUCUCUAUGAAAAAAAAAUUAGCUGGGCAUGGGGGCACCCGCCGGUAGUCCCAGCUACUCAGGAGGCUGAAGCAGGAGGACUGACUGAGUCCAGGAGUUUGAAACCAGCCUGGGCAACAUAAUGGGACCUCAUCUCUACAAAAACUUUCUUAAAAAAUUAGCUGAGAAUGGUAGCACACACCUGCAGUCUUAGCUACUUGGGAGGCUGAGGUGGGAGGACUGGUUGAGCCCAGGAAUUCAAGGCUGCGGAGAGCUAUGAUUGUACCACUGCACUACAGCCUAGCAAGGCCUUGUCUCAAAAAAAAAAAAAAAAAAAAAAAAAAAAAAAAAAAAAUCCCAUGAAAAUGUAGCCAGAGAGCAGUUCCCUGCCACUCUGACUGGAUCAUUCACAUACACCCUUGAAUUAAACAAGGAUUUGGGACAGUGAGGAGGAAGAGCAAAGGGGGAGAAAGUGUGUGCUGCUGAGGGUGCAGGGGAGGGAGGGCCCAGUCGGUAGGCUGGUGGGGGCUGGGCACCCACCAGGGAGCAAGAUGCUCGUCAAGCCCCAGCCUUUGGUCAGUCCUUGCCCAGCCACAGGCACCAGCACCAGGGGCCUCCAACCAGAGGCUCACUCAUCCUGCUUGAAGUGGGGCUUCAUGUCGGUGGCAUGGAGGCAAAGGUUGGAGGGAAGCAGCAAAGAAAAAGGCAAGAAAAGGGUUGGUGGGGAGGCUACCUAAGCUGUAGUGAGAUUCUGGUGAGUAGGAGAUACUGGAGAAGAUACCUUCAGAGGCAUUUUGCUUUCUUUCUACAAAUAUUUACAUCAUAUUUACUGCAUGAUGGGGCAUAGGCUUCUAGGACUAUAGAAAAAAAUAAUUUGAAUUGAAUCUGAAUUGCCAAUCCUAACAGCUCCCAAAUACCCUGAAAGUUAAGAAUUUUGGGCAAAAUGUCAGUUUUACAACUCUAGGUAAGUUGACGUUUGUGCUGCUGGGAAAGUAUCUGGCAGCUCUGAUCUAGUCCUUCUAUUGCAUCUGUUCUCUUCCUCCCCAGCUCAGGGGCAACCAUGAUUGAUCCCAGGAGAGUCAAUCCAACGCUGAUAAUCCAAUGCCCAUAAUUUCUCGAACUGACCACUUCCUUCUCUCUCCUUUCUGAACAUUCUGGGCUAAGUCCAUGCAGCUUGAUCAGUUUCCCCUUCUGCUUCCUGGGCUCACUGCUCUUUCAAAAUCUUUGCCAAUUACUUACUUAGGCAGAAACCUAAUGGGAUAGUUUCUUCCCUAGCAAGAAGUGGCUGCUCCUGGAGAGGGUAUGAGCAUCUCCUGGGUACCAGCAGCACUUGAUACAAGUCGGUAUUUGUUGAGGGCUUCUCUAUGUACCGAGCAUUGUUCCAACCCUUGACAUGGACUAGCUGAGGAAGCCAUGAGGCUGUUACUGUGACUAUCCUCAUUUUACAAAUGGAUCACUACUGACGAACUGAUAUCCAGCCACUCUGCCAAGGCUGCAUGGCUACCAAGCACGAAGCCACAUGGCUGGGCUCUGAGCUUUGAGGUCUUGACAUGAUAUUUAAUGAGCACCCUCCCUGGGAAUUCUGUCUGCUCCCUAAUUAUGAAAGGGGUGCAUUCCAAAGCCUGUUUAAAACACAAAUGUGUGGCAAUGUGCUGGGCUGAUGAGGAUGGGAAACAGGCCCUGCAUACACUGACAGUUGAAGUAUGAACAGGUCCAAACUCAGUAGAGGCAGUGGGGCAAUAUCUAUCAAAACUGCAAAUCAUAUGCCCUCUGACCUCAGAUUGCACUUAUAGGGAUUUACCCAACUCACAGAGAAAUAACAAGGCUGUUCAAACCAGCACAGUUUAUAACAGUCAAGAGUUGGAAACAACCUAAUUGUCCACCUAUGGAGGACUGGUUCAGUUAAGCGUAUCCUUCCAAAUAAAUACUACUCAGAUCUAACAAAGGAUGAAGAAGUGCUUAAUAUGCUCAUCCGAGAAGAGCCCAAAGAUGUACAUCAUCAAAGGAAAAAAAAAGAGGUGCAAAUGCGUGUAUUUAUAUUUGUACUGGCUUAUCUAUAGAGUAUUUCUGGAAACACACAAGUAAUAAUAGUGACUGUCCACAGAGAGGGGAAGUAGAUGGAAGGGGAACAGGGUGGCAAAGAAAUUUCACUAUCCUUUUAUGAUUUUGGAUUUUCAAAUCAUGUUAAUGAACUGGCUAUUUUUUUUUAAAUCACAAAUAUAUAAAUGUGUAUGCAGGGCUCAGAUUAGGCUUUCCUGGAGAGCCAAUUUUAUACAUGGCUGUUAGGUCCUGAAAAGCCUACUAUGAGUUACUGAUCAUAACACAAACAUCAGGAAAAUGUGUCUAAAAGCAGCAUCUGCAAUGGCAGUGUGUGGGUAUAUGAAGACUUCACAAAAGGCCUGAGCCACGUCUCCCCUGACCCUGGCUAUGGGACAGAUCACUUUUUGCUUCUGUGAUCAGGCCUUCACCAAAGAGGCAGCAUGGAUCUGUACUUUGUAAAAGGGAAGAGAUCUCAGAAGAGAAACAUUUGUAGUCGGAAAGGAAAGUGAGAAAAUUCAACAGGUGGGAGAGGAUGCAGGAGGAGCUGCUGGCCAGGGCAUGAGCGAGGAGGGAAGUGCAGGCAGGUGGAAUCGCCUGGGCCCGUGAGGACAGCAACUUGUGCAAGGGUGACUAGUGACACACACAGAUAACCUUUGAUGAUGGAAUGGGCCUAUAUGCCAUGACUUGAAAUCCCAUCCCUCCUCAUCAUUUUAAGAAGACACCUGGGGCCGGGCAUGGUGGCUCAAGCCUGUAAUCCCAGCACUUUGGGAGGCCGAGGCGGGCAGAUCACAAGAUCAGGAGAUAAAGACCAUCCUGGCUAACACGGUGAAACCCCGUCUCUACUAAAAAUACAAAAAAUUAGCCGGGCCUGGUGGCAGGCGCCUGUAGUCCCAGCUACUUGGGAGGCUGAGGCAGGAGAAUGGCAUGAACCCGGGAGGCGGAGCUUGCAGUGAGCCAAGAUCGUGCCACUGCACUCCAGCCUGGGUGACAGAGCAAGACUCCCUCUCAAAAAAAAAAAAAAAAAAAAAAAAAAAGAAAAUAGAAGACACCUGGGUUCCAGGAGACUGCUGGUGAAUGACCAACACAUCAGAACAGUCAGCAUGAGUCAGGGGAACCCCAGGGCUUUGCGUUCUGCCCAGAAGGAAGAAGGAUCUGCUUGGAGGAAGGGAUGCUGGGAAAAGAGAAAAGGAGGAGCUAAACAGGAAAGGCUUACAGGCCGGAAGCGAAUUACCAGACUACAACUAGGGAGCGGGCCCUCCUGGGUGUUCCACAACCCAGAUGAGAGAAUUUUAGCUUUCUGUCUCAGUCAAAACUCUCAACACCAGCAUUAACCUGUGGGCACUGAGCCAUCUGAGGGUGCUGAGCACAUUCACUCGUGUCUGUCCUUUCCUCAUCUUGAACCCCUUUCCUGCAACCAAGGGUCAAGUCAUGUGGUCACCCAGGCUGGAGUGCAGUGGCAUGAUCACAGCUCACUGCAGCAUCGAAACCCUGGGCUCAAGCCAUCCUCCUGCCCCAGCAUCCUGAGUAGCUGAGACUACAGGUGCACAACACCAUUCCCAGCUAAUUAAAAACAAUUUUUUUUUUUUUUAGAACAAGGGGUCUUGCCAUGUUGCCCAGGCUGGUCUUGAACUCCUGGCCUCAAGUGAUCCUCCUGCCUCAGCUUCCCGAGCAGCUAGGCUUACAGAUGAGCCUCACCAUGCCUGGCUCUCUAGUUUUCUUGCAUUUCUCUACUCCCACUAUCUUACCUAAAUCUUAAAAGACAGACAAAGGUUCUUAUAGUUAGCCCUUUCUCAAAAACCUUGACCCUGAAAUUUGAACUUCCCACAAUUAUUCCUGGUUUCUUUCUAGUUCCACAAACUUUCUCCUAGUUCUUGGAUCAUGGUUUGUUCCUCUUUCCCUUCAUAGAUAACACUGGAGAUAACAUUCAUCUCAGAAGUUAGAUUCCUUUAAAAACAAAUGCUCUAGUUCCUGGGGCACUAGAGAGAAAAGAUUUGCCAACAAAAGGGUCCAGCUUGCCAGUCAGUCAUGUGGCAGGUCAGAGAGAACACAUGUGGCAGGCAGACAGGUGGGCACAGUGCUGCUGAGAACGGACAUGCUCCCUUACAGGUUGUGUGAGAAAUCCAAGAGUUUCAAUACACAAAAGGACCGGAGAGGAAGCUACGGCCCUGGUUUUUAUAAGGAAGGAAGAGAGCCGGGUUGCACUAGGCUAGACAAUUCUAGUUUCUUGUGACUGACUGAAGCGUAAAUGACAGUGAUAAUGAUAGAAAUAAUCACAGCAGUAAUAAAUAAUUUGGUUAAGAAAAAAACUGAAGCGGUGCUUUGCUUCAUUUCUUACCAUCUUUUUGGCAAACAGAAUGAUGCUGAAAAUAUCAAAACAGGGCAGCAGCCAGGAGGAAGGGAAAAUCAAGCGGUUUUAAAAAAUGACAGACAGAAAAAUCAGCUCCUAAGUUACUUAGAGUUGAUGCACUGGCAACUUACAGGACUCUGAAAAGAACCAAGGAGUUGGGAUAUUUUUAAAAUUCCAUUUAUUUUAAAGGAAUGUUUGGUUUGCCUACUAAUUGUUUUUAGAUUAAUUCUUAGUGGAGAGAAAAAGUAAAAAAAAAAAAAAAUUGCAUCCUGCAAAACAGGUUGCAGUGUUAAUUUAAAACACACAUGUAUAAAAAUGGGCAGGUGGGUUGAGGGGUGCUACUGCCCCCAGGGACCUGCGGCUCUGUUCUUUUCUCCUCCUUGCAGGAAGUGAGCCUGCAUCCGACUUCCCCUUUCUGGCUCGGUUGUCACAUCCUUCAGGGACAUUCCAGCUUCUGAUCACUUUUCGCUUUGCCUCAGCACAGUCGCACUAUGCGGCCAGUCACGGCACCACUGCACUACUGCACCAUCUGAGCCCCAUGCCAGAGUAUCCAGCGACUCCUCCUGCAUGUUGGAACCAACAGUCCUAGGGGAGGAUGAUGACUCGGCCAAGUACCCUCCGCCGCCUCCCUACCCCCAACCAUCUGUGGGCUAUGUCUCUCUGCUGCCAACCAGAAGAUAAUAAUUCCACUGUGCCAAGCGCCCAGAACAUGAUCCUAGGCUCCACAUUUAGAAGGGAUAAAGGCUACCUGGAACAUGUCCCCGCAUGUUCAGAGGGAGGCAAAUGGGAGGAAGUGAAGGAGCUCGAUUAGGACAUGUGAGAAGAGGCUGAAGGAAUAGAGCAGCUUAAAGAGAACUCAUAGAAAGAGAAAACUAAUCUUAAGGGAUCUGAAGGAUUCAUUUAAUUGUAAUGAAAAGGAAUUAACUUGUUCUGGGAGGCCCUAGAGCUACCAAGCAGAAACUACAAGGAAAGAUUUUGGCUCCUCCAAGUAACAGCUCAGGUUUCUCAAAAGAUGGAAUGGGCUGGGGUGGGGAGGGGACAGCAAGUAUGGCCAUGGGAUGAAGCUCUCACAGAGGGGAGGGCGGUUACCCUGCGCCUCCCUGACAGUGCGUGAAGGGAGGUGUUCACGUUCCCAUUUAUUCUGAGUUUCCUGUAUGGGAACACGAUCACUGCCAAUUUCCUUGUAGUCCCAUGUCACUUUUCCAUAGAAAAACGCACACGGACUUUCCCUUGAAGAAGCUUUCUCUUUGAACACGGCAGUCUUCUUACUAAUAUAGAAAUGACCAGCCAAUCUUUGGGAUCAGAAACACUAAAAUAUUACUACAAUGUGGACGCUCAUGUCAAUCCUUUUACAAACCUCUGUAGGAGUGCUUCUCUGAAUAAUUUUAAAAUUGAAGGGGAAAAAAACCCCAUAGUGUUAGAUUUUCAUUUAAGUUCAAUGCUGAAUUUCUAAGGCGGAAAUCAGUGUAACCAGAAGCACCCAGUAACCCGAAGGGGAUGCUUUUCAUAUUUUCAGUCUGUUUAACUCCACCCAUUUGAGAAGAUAAGAAGAUGCCUUUUCUAUUUUUAGAUUCUUACCCUCUCCCCAUAUCAUCUAAACUGAGGACAUAGCUCUAAGCUUCAAGACUAUGAAACUCUAUUAGCUGGCUCCCCAGCUGCUGAGCUCUGUUAUGCAAAUGAACUUAGCCAGAACGAGCAGGCGGUAUUUUAAAGACCCAUUCAAAGUCUGAUACAUCUCACCUUCCAUUAUUUUAAAGGACUUUCAUUUGUGAUUCAGCUACAGCUUGAAUUUAUUGUUCUUUUACAACCCUGAUUAUAUACAGACCCACAAAUACCAUAUGUGAGACUCAGUGCUAAUUUGUGUACACGUCUCAUUUUUAUGGGAUCUAAUUUGAAAGAUCUCUUAGAAGCAAAAUUGGAAGACAGAAGGUCCACCUCACAUAGCACCAAGUCUGCACUUUUGAACAGAGGCCAUUAGGACCUUUUUUCCUAUAAAAAUGAGUUACUGGGGAAGACUCAAUGUGGACAUAGAACUCUGGCAGUUACAACAAGGCAGGAGGAGGGCAAGUCCUCUCAUGCCUGGUUCAUUUAUCAGGACGUGUUGUACAUGGCACCAGGGCUGGUCAGAAGCACCCAGGCAGGCACUCUAGUUUCAUGGAUGUGAAUCUCUGAUAAGGCCAUUGCUGUGAACUGCUCACGUGUUUCCAUAACUAAUGGAUCUGACUUGGUCUGUGAUGCUGCAAGGACAAUAUCAAUACAGGAAGAGAACUUGACUCUGAAGUUUUCAGCAGUAUUCAGCCAGGAUAUUCAUUCUAAUCUCUGCUCAAAAGCAAGGAACUUGCUCUCAGUUGCUCACAAAAUAUUAAUAUUUAAGUCAGCAAUUAUUCUAUGCAGUACUCCAGUUCUGGUAAUGGUAAUUUCAAAUGAUCCCAAAUAAUAAGCUGACACUGUCCAGAAAUUCAGAUUAUGGUCAUUUAACCCAUACUACCUUGGAGGGCAAAGUUCCUAGCCAUUUGCCUUUAGGCCACAUUCUCAAGUUCUCUGAUGGGGUAAAGGGACAAAUACAGGACUUCCAUGCUAUUCUGCCACCCUGCUAGGGCUGUCUACAAUAAUCCACGUUCCUUGGAUGGGCUGAAACAUGGCUUUUCUGUAUGAUACCAGCACUGGCUAUAUGUGGAAUCUGGUAGUCGUCAUUCUACUCUCAAUCUACUUCCACUACCAACAUCCUUGCGUUAUUUGUAUAUGUGUUACUACAAAUAUAUUUGUUGAAUGAUUUCCCUCUAACUAGGCUGAAAGCUCUUCUGUGGGCAUGAGCUUAUUCAUCUUUUGCCUCCCACAACACAUGGCCCACAGUGAACUUCAAAUUCACAAGUGUUAAAUCCAUAACCCCUGCUAGACUUUCCAUCAUGAGAGCCAGGUUGACUUGCUCCCGGGGGCCAAACCCUAGAGCAAGUCUACAGAGGCUCUCUGGAAAGUGACAAAUCUGAAAUGCUUUGUUCUCUAAAUAAUUUACACCUGUGAAGAGUACUAGCUAGCAUGAGUGCUUUCUGUGGGCCAGGCAGGCAUGUAAUGCUCAGAGCAUACCUCUUAGGAAGCAGUCUUAGAUGAAGCCUGUGUCUCCAGUCAAUCACCCAAAAUGUGGAGGAGCUAGGAUUCCAGCCAUAGCUGCAUUCUGUAGCCACUGCCGAUUUGAUAACUCAAGGACUGCCAACCUGAAGACUAUGUAUCUUGAAGUCUGACAGCACCAAGAGGAAAUGACACACCAAGAGCGCAACACGGAUGAGAGGUGGAGAUGCUAACCUGACCUUGUCAGAAGCCAAAAAUGAGAAGAAGGGUCCUAGACACUGGUCCCUCCAUCUCUAACUCACUAGGACUUUUCAGUAUUUUUGCUAUUGUCAACAAGAAUCUCAAAAGGAAUUUGACUUGUGGUAAACGUCAAAAGAUUUGAAUUGUAAAGUAACAAAGCCCCCCCCCCACCCCCCGCCCCCCGCCAUCCUCGAGGAGAAAAACAAACAUCCUGUUCUUAGAAAAUCGUGUUAAGUGCUGUUCAUUCUUUUCCCAGAGGAAGCCCAUUGCAUGCGACAGUGAACAAUCACAGGCUUUCACUGGGGACAAUAGCUCCCUAGCUUCCUAACUGACACUUCAUUUCCCUCCUAACCUGAAACUAAGAACCUUGUGUUCCCUACAUGGAAAGCUCUCCCACCUUCUUACCAUCAGCCUCUAUUCACAACAUCCUCUGAGACCUGCUCCAGAUGCACUUCCUUCCUGGAGGAAGUCUACUCGAAUGCACCUCACGUAAUCCAACCUUGCUACUGCUUUGCUUAGGGGUUUUCUUAGGGGUUGUGGAGGGCUUGUAUUAUGUGAUUUGUUGUUUUCCUGUUUUGUGGUUUUAAUGCCUGAUAUUUCCAGGUGGCUGGUGAGCUCAAAAAGAAUAAAGUAAGCAAAAGGGCUAUACAUGAGUGUUCCUGUUGGGAAAACUCUCCUCCUUUUUAUGCUGAAUCACUUACAGAGCCUCCUCUUGAGCUGGGGACACAGAAGGCCCUCAAAUCUUACUGAAUAAGCUCUUCUAGUUUUCUUUCUGACCAUCCCUUAAGUCAAGGGUCUACAAGCUACAGGCCGGCCAAAUCCGGCCCCCUGCCUGUUUUUAUAGAUAAAGUUUUAUUAGAACACACCUAUGCCUAUUCAUUUAUGUACUGUCUACAGCUCAGUGGGGUUCUCAACUGAGGGUGAUAUUUGUUCCCUAUGCGAUAUUUGGCAAUGUCUGGGAAUAUUGUGGGUUUUCGUGACUGGGGGUGGUGUGCUCCUGGCAUCUAGUGGGUAGAAGCCAGGAAUGCUGCUAAACAUCCUACAGUGUACAGGACAACUCCCCAAAGCAAAGAAUUAUCUGGCCUCAAAUCUCAGUAGUGCUGAAGUUGAGAAAUCCCAGUAAAGGUGCUUUUGCUCUAUCAGGUCAGAGUUGAGUAGCCUGUGACAGAGACUGUAUGUUGCUCUCAAAGCCCAAAGUAUUAACUGAGCCCUUACAGAAGAAGUCUGAACCCCUGUCUUAAAUGUUGGCAUUUUCAUAGGGUUGGAUGGCUGCUGCCCAUCCCCCACUCCUCAACAAUUCCCCCGGCAAUCACAUACCACCUCUAGGGAUAACUUCCAAGUCAGUACCUUCAACCCACAUGCAUCUACUUAAGUCCAGACCAGUGCUACUCAAAGUGGGUUCAUACAGUCCAUGAUGAGAUAAGAACAGAAGUUGGAAGCAAGAUCUUUUUGACAUUGCCUUAACAUCAAGCAUGUGACCAACAGAUUUUUUUCUUACUGAAUAGGCUAUUGACAAGUUUGGGAGCUGUAUGCUGUUGAGCUUGCAUGGCGGUUGUGUGUGGCCCAAGCUCCAUAUUCCUUGUGCACAGUAGUAUUGUACAAUGGAUUGGAAAUGGAAACAAACAAAAAGACAGUGGCCCUUCCCAGAGAGUUUGAAAAGCAUUGAUUGGCCUUUCCCUUCCCUUAUAUUCCAGACUUCUCUACUUUGCUUCCCUUGUCCCAUAUAAUACUCAUAAACCUUGCCCCAAAUGGGAUUUGCCAUCUUUCUUCCCCCUGCCUGCCUUAGGCAUCUGCCUUCCAAACUAUGCUUUCCUGGUAAAUGGCAGAAGUCACUCAAUUCCAAAACCCAGCUAUCAUCCCAGCACUUCUCCCCGCCUCCAUCUCUACAUCAAGUCCUAUAGUCCUAUCAGUCUGUCUGGACUGUCUCUCCUCAUUCAUCCCUGCUCCAUCAGCCUUACUCCUGGCCCCCAUGAUCUUUCUCCUGCACAAGGACAUUUGCCUUUCACCUACCUCCCUGCCUCCCCGGUCCUUCCACCUUAUCUUCCAAUCUACACCAGAGUGAGGUACCUAGAAUCCUCAUGUAACCUUAUCACUCUCUGCUUUAAAACCUUUCAAGGGUUUUAAGGCUACAGCUUGGAGAUAAGAUAAAAUAGCUUGUGAAGCCCACUUCAGCAAUCUGGGGGGCCUGCCACACUUGCAACUGAAUCUCCUGCCAGUUCCCCAUGGCAUCCUAAGCUCCCAUAGCGUCCUGUGUACACCUCAAACCUAGCAACUAUCACACUGGAUUAUUACCACUACUUAUUUAACUCUUCCCCAAUCAGGCUAUAAUCUGGGAGAGAGAACGGAGAUCUUAUUCAUAGCAGGUAUUGAAAAAAAUGUUGAAUGGAUAAACAAAUGAGAAAGCUUGAAAGACAUUGCUGUGCCUCUUCCUCUUUAACCCUGCCUGCUCUAUUGAAAAUGCAAGAUGGAAUCUAUGAUUCUUACAGAAGAAAACAAACAUGUAACAAGAAGCUGUCUCCUCUUUUCUUGUGGCAAAGGCUUUCAUUUUUCCAUCUGUAAGCCAUUUUAACCUUCCCCUAUCCAUGCAGGGUAAUAAUUUAACAGUGUAUCAAUGCAAGCCAGAGUAAUUCUACAGGACCAUACAGAUCUUUGGCAAAUAUACAGAUAAAAAAUAUAGAUCUUAAGGCAAAUAUUUGUGGACAUGCUGUUUGAAAGAGAUAUGACUCCUAUCCCUGAAUGCAAUGUGCAAAUAGUGUCUUAGGUAAGACUCAAAGAAAAUUUGACAAUACAGUCCUCUGAAUUCAAACUCAGUGACUCUACUUAAAUCAAACUUAAAGAAUGAGGCCCUGGAGAAACAAUGAACUUGCUCUUUUCUCUUUUCAAAAGGAGAUGUGUUAAGGGAGAACUUGGCUCAUUUGGCCUAAAAUGUACAAGGAAACCUCAAGAAACUACAAUGGACAGUCUAUAGAAAAGGGUUGUUUGGAAGAUCAAUGUGUGACUGGCACAGAUCAGAUAUGUGGGGAAAAAUAAACCUAUCAAAACAUUUGCCAAACCAAACCAAAUGAAACACCGACUGUACGGGCCAACGAAACUGCUAUCUCACUGCUGUUCCUGGCCUGAGCGGGGGAAGAGCUGGACCAAAACUAUGAGCCAGCCCUGUAAGACGCAGAAGCCCUGAUACACUGGGUACCAGUUACCUUCAUGUAAAAUGGAGAUAAUCAUCCCAAACUUUAUAAUAACCACAGGUGUUAGAGCUGAGUGUUAAAAUCUACAGUGCUAUGUAAACACAAGGCAUUAUCUUUUCCCCAAAUGAGACCAGACUAUCUACUGAAAUACAGAGUGGAGGGGAAACUAUUCUCAUUGCCAAAAUAAACACUUCUAUUUUCUCCUUAAAUUUCGCCUGUACCACUCAUUAAUAAAAUUGUUGCAGAUGAGGCUAAAAUGGUUCCUAUUGAUCCUGUGGACAGUCUCCACAGUUGGAAGGGAUUCCUACCACCAGCUUGAUUAGAAGUUAAUUCCCCUGUCAAUGGGACAUAGGGCUGGGGCUAUCUUCUCAUUCACACCUACAUGCAUCGGUUAUCUUCAGUUGGGGCUCUUCCAGCCUUAGGAACAAAUGAAACGUCCCGGAGUUGGGAAAAUUACAACAACUGCUAUAUAGGUCAGAUAAAAGUGGUGUUUUCAUACCAACUUGGGAUCUCUUACAGUAGCCCCUGACCUUAAGACAUAAAUAAAUACAAACAAUCUAACAUUUUUUUUCUCCUAAAUUCUCUGUUGAC